This 77736-nucleotide long non-coding RNA is filed under the name Malus domestica (apple). RNAcentral describes it as "long non-coding RNA (MDOM_LNC007211)". The record is from RNAcentral. Lineage: Eukaryota; Viridiplantae; Streptophyta; Magnoliopsida; Rosales; Rosaceae.
UUACAUAUUUCCCCUGCUCACAGACAUUUGCAUUGCACCUUGCAAACACCAGUUUUUUUGUUUGAACAUCGAUCCACAUCAAUGGCUCUUGUGAGAACAUCUCCAGGAACCUCCUCUGAUUCCAACACUUUCGGAGUUAUCGCUACGACGUGUUCUUGAGCUUCAGAGGAGAAACUCGCAAGACUUUUACCGACCACCUCUACACAGCCUUGAACAACGCAGGAUUUCUUACGUUCCGAGACGACGACGAACUUGAGAGAGGAGAAGAUAUAAAGCCAGGACUGCAGAACGCGAUCCAGCAGUCACGAACUUCUGUUGUCGUGUUUUCGAAAGAUUACGCUUCAUCCAGGUGGUGUCUUGAUGAGCUUGUGCUGAUCCUUGAACGCAAGAGGACCACCUCGGACCAUGUUGUUUUACCAGUCUUCUACGAUGUCGAUCCAUCCCACGUGAGGAAGCAGACAGGAAGUGUUGGAAAAGCAUUUGCUAGAAGCCAGAAAAAUCAGUCGUCGGAAAAGGUGGAGGGAUGGAGGAAGGCACUUGCAGAGAUUGCAGACCUAGCAGGCAUGGUCUUAAAAAAUCAAGCUGAUGGGUAACUUUCAUUAUCUCCAUUUCUCCUCUCUUUCUUUGGUCAAUUUGAUGUAUGAUCCGUAGUGACCUAGAUUUUUAUAUAUUUAUUAAUUCAAUCUCAGCAGUGAAUAAUAAUCCCAAUUCAGGUCAACUUAAAGAAAUCAUACUCAACUCAACUUAAGGAUUAGUCAUUUUCCAUGUUAAUCUACUGGUUUCCAGUUGCUUAAAUAUUUUUGAAAGCUGGUGUGGAAAAAAGUUAGGAUGUGAUCUGUAAUGUAUUUGUCUAUGGUUCGUAUAAAUUAUGCGUUCUAUUCCUUUUUUAGAAAAACUAAUGAAAAAGACUAGAAAAUUUUGAGCUAUAACGAUAAGGACAAAAUAAAGGGUAAAGUGGAUAGUAUUAAGAUUGACUUUUUAGAGUAAAAAUGUGGUUUUUCCGUUAAAGUGAACAAUACCGGGUGCUUUUUGUUAAAGUUCCUCCUUUUUUUUUUCAAUUUAAUUGUCAGCGGUCCUUUUUUUUUUCUUAUUUAAACAAAGGCAAUCAAUAUAUGUUUUAAUUAUCUAAUUUUCCCAAUUCAUUUUUCAUUUUGUUUGCAAAUUCGUAGGUAUGAGUCAACGUUUAUAAAAAACAUUGUUAAAGUGAUAGGAGACAAGUUAAGUCGCAUGCCAUUGAGUGUUGAACCAAAAUUGAUUGGAAUUCAAUCUCAAGCCGAACGCAUCAAUUUGUGGUUACAAGAUGGAUCAAGUCAUGUUGGUAUAUUUGUUGUGUAUGGCAUGUCUGGAAUAGGGAAGACAACCAUUGCAAAACAUGUUUACAAUUCAAACUUUGGAAGCUUUCAAGGAAGUAGUUUCAUUGAAAAUAUCAAAGAAACAGCAGAUCGACCAAAUGGCUUAGUUCAAAUACAAAUGCAACUUCUUUGUGAUAUUUUGAACGGCAGAGAAGUGAAAAUACAUAGUGUUAGUGAGGGAAUAAUUAAGAUUGAAAGGGCCAUAAGCACUAGAAGAGUUCUACUUGUUCUUGAUGAUGUUGACCAAAUGGACCAAUUCGAUGCAAUCCUAAGGAUGAAGGAUCAGUUUUAUCUUGGAAGUAAGAUACUAAUAACAACUAGGCGUGAAAGGUUGCUAAAGGCAGAUCAAGUUACAGAGGUGCACAGAGUUCGGACUUUGUAUUACAAUGAAUCAUUAAAGCUUUUCAGUUGGCAUGCUUUUGGCCAGGACCAUCCCAUAGAAGAAUACAUGGAGCACUCAAAACAACUAGUGCAACAUAGCAGCGGACUUCCCUUAGCUCUAAAAGUUUUGGGUUCUUCUUUAUCAGGGGAAAGUAUAGCUGUAUGGGAAAGUGCAUUGGAGAAGCUAAAAGUUAUUCCUGAUGGUGAAAUCAUGAGUAAACUAAGAAUAAGCUAUGAAAGUUUAAAAGAUGACCAUGACCAGAAAUUAUUCCUCCACAUUGCUUGUUUCCUAAUAGGAAGGAACAAAAGCUACAUUGUUAGAAUACUCGAUGGAUGUGAUUUCUAUACAAUCAUUGGCAUUCAAAAUCUCAUUGAUAGAUGCUUGGUGACACUUGAUAAAUACGGCAAGGUGGAAAUGCAUGACAUGAUUCGUGCUAUGGGAAGAGAAAUUGUUCGCCAAGAAUCAGAAGAGCCUGAGGAACGGAGUAGAUUAUGGCGCCAUAAGGAUUCUUUCCAAGUAUUGAGGAAAAAGAAUGUAAGAAACAUGCCUUUUAUGUCUAUAUAUGUAUUCCUUCUUGUGAAAAUUAUGCAUACUAAUGUCUUUUUUUUUCCUUUAGGGUACAAAAAAAAUCCAAGGUCUUGUCCUGGAUAUGCGUAAUCAUCCUGCAAACAGUCCAAUAAACACAAAUGAGAUAGUCUUGGAAACCAAUGCAUUUGCAAGGAUGCGUAAUUUACAACUACUCCAUCUUAGUCAUGUACGACUGGAUGGAUGUUAUGCACUUUUCCCUACAGGAUUAAGAUGGUUGUGUUGGCUUGAAUUUCCUUUGGAUUCUAUACCAAUUGAUUUUCCUUUGGAGAACGUAAUUGUUCUUGAAAUGCAAUACAGUAGCUUGAGACAAGUAUGCAAAGGAACAAAAGUAUGUUACUCUAUGCAUUUCAAUUCAUUUUCCUUAUUGUGUUAGUUUUUUAUGGGGUGUGAUAUCCACACACCCUUUUUUACUUGUCUCACACCUUUUGGGUUUUCGACCGUCGGAUUGGAUGAAUUGAAGAAGAUCAACGGACAGAAAUUAACAAUGGGUGUGUGAGAAGUAAAAAGUGGUGUGUGGAUAGCACACCCCUUUUUUAUUUGUUGACCAACUCCGUGUGCUAAAAUGAACUACUAUGUUUUCUUUAAUUCGAUGACUAAUUUCUUAUGUUAGAUACUUAUUUCAUUGUUCUUUUUUCUUUUAUUUAUUUUUCCUCUGUUUCCACAGUUUCUUCCAUCGUUGAAGAUCCUUGACGUCAGCCAUUCUCAUGGCCUUAGUGAAACCAUUGACUUCUCACUUUUCCCCAAUCUAGAGGAACUGAUUCUUGUAGGUUGCACAAGCCUGAAGAAUGUUCAUGAAUCCAUUGGAAACUUGGAGAGACUCGUGUACUUGAAUAUGAAGGAUUGCAAGAAUCUUAGGAAGCUUCCAAAGAACAUGUGCAUGCUUAAAUCACUUGAAACACUCAUUUUAUCUGAUUGCUCAAAUCUUGUUGAGUUUCCAGUAGAGAUGAUGAAGAACAUGGAGUCUCUGAAAGUUCUUGAGACAGAUGGAAUUCUAAUAGGUGAAUUGAGGCCAGAAAGAAGUUCAACCAUCUUGAGUUCUUUUCCAUGCUCUUUAGUAGAGUUAAGUAUGAAGAGGUGCAAUCUUUCUGAUGAUGUCCUUCCUACGGAUUUAAGUAAUCUAUCCUACUUGCGAAGACUACAUUUAGAUGAGAAUCCAAUUUGCAGUCUGCCAGUUUUCAUCAAAGGUUUGAGGAGGAUCGAUGAACUCUCUUUCGAGGGUUGUGAUAGGCUCGAAUCGCUUGUGGGGUUGCCGGAAUUACACCAAGGGCUAAGUAUAGUCGGAUGCAUAUCAUUAAAAAAAAUAACUUUUCAUUCCCCUGAGCGGUUGUGUCCAAUUUUUUUUUGUGACAACUGGAAUCUUGUUGAGUGGGAGCGCUGUUACAAGUUAGAGCCUAUUGAUAGAGUUGAUGUGGAAAUGAUCAAACUUUUGGGCUUGUGCAACUUGGAAUCCAUGCCAGCUGUUCGAAUGAAUUAUCUACACUCAUACAAGGAUCGAAAAGAGGUCCCCGUCCAGGUACGCCUCUCUUUCUCUCUCACAUGAGUCUUAAAUAUAUAAUGGGAAAUAAAUGACUGAGUAAUGUUGUGAUGACUGUGGCAAAUACAUAGGAACUGUGUCAACGUGGUAUAUUCAGAACGUUUUUUGUUGGGAAUGAGGUUCCAGGCCAGUUCAGCUAUAUAAGUACCAAGUCCUCGAUAUCUUUUAUUGUCCCUUUACUACAUGCUAGUCACAGAAUUCGAGGCUUGAACAUCUUUGCUACCUAUGCAAAGAAAAAUUCAAAUAAUUAUUCUACUAUACCUAUUAUUGGUCCAAUAAUGAUCAAAGUGAGAAACAAGAGUAAGGGUCUGAAGUGGAUCUAUAGCCCAGAGUUCCGUGGAAUUCCAGGUGACGGAGAAGAUAUGAUAUGGUUGAGCCAUUGUAAGAUGGAGUAAAACAAUAUUACAAUGUGGAGAUGAAGUGGUGGUUUCGGUAAUAUCCGGACGACGUGACUUGUUUUGGGUAAAGGAGUUUGGUGUCCAGCUUGUGCAAGAGCACCAAGACAGGAUGAGUACCCAACACAACAAAUCAGAUCCUAAUUAUGCAUUUGUUAUCGGUGGAGAUUUGAAGAUGUGGGAGUGCAGUUUGGGAUUAUACCUCAUUGGCGGUUAUGAAGGAGGAGAUAUUGACCGCAUUGAUAUCCUCACCAUGGACUCUGAUGAAGAAGACACAAGUAUGUUGUGUUGUUGUAUUGCGUUGAAUUAUACUUCAUCCAAACACUUCCAGGUGUGUCCGUAUUCAUUUCAAAAACGUUUCCAAUAAAUUUUAUGUUAUUUGUUUGUUUUUCAGACAAAGAAGGGCAAGAGGAUGAACCUGAUUACACAAUUGCAAAGACGAGGGCUGCUAGCAAUAACUGCAGCCUGAGAGGCUGGAAGGUGCGCCUCACAGCUGUCGGCUUCUUUUUCGCGCUGGCUCUAGUAGGUUGGCCCUCCCAAAAAAAGAAGCGACACUCGUCCACAAGCCCACCAUGAGUUUGUAAUUUGACUUGAUAUAGAUAUAUCUUUGCAUUCCUUGCUCUCAAGAUGUUUUCUACCUUCAAAACUUCAGGUUCAGAGCUAAGCACUCUUAACCGCUUGAGAUAUAAAAGCCCCUUGCAACUAGAUAACGAAGUCCAAAUGUGUUCAACGCCAUCAAAUAUAGCAUAAAAUACAUCUGGCAUUAGCGAUACUAGCAGAGUAGCAGUAAAUAAGUAAAACAAAAAAAAUGCUUCUACACAUGGUAAGGGAAGGACCUUGACAUGGUAAGGAGGCUCUUCUGUCAUUACCAAAGUUCAAAUCUGUUGAUACCUUAUCUUGCAACUCUUAGAGGCUCUUCUGUCAACAAUCUUCCUCUUCUAAGCAUGCAACUUUUUAAAGAAUAAAGGGCUUGUCUGUGCGAAUAAUCAAGUUCCAAGUCCACUAUUGAAAAUCAUGUUCAUCCAUCCUACACAUCCAAAGCAGCAAACUAACUAGGAUACCAGGUUGGGAGGAUACAAUCAUUAACAAUUUCAAACGCUUUAAAUGCAAUCUGAAUACAUGGCAAGUAGGGGUAAACAUGUGAACAGAAAAAUCAAUGAACAUAAUCAAAUCGAAUAAGUCAAUUUUUGACACGCCCCGACCCUGAUAUUUCCCAAAUACCAGGACCGACACGUGCUGGCCGACAUCCGGGGGUGACGAAAGCCAUUAAUUGAUACAAAAGCUAAGAAUAAGAAAUAAAUAAGGGUUAGAAAUUUAAAAUACAAAGAAUUUAUAAUUUAGGAACGUGCUCAGAGCAUACAACUAAACCUAAUCACUAAAAGGAAUUAAGAUAAAAUUUAAUGAAUAAAGGAGUGAGUCCUACAUUCGAGAGGAUCCGAAGAUGCUGCUGCGGAAGUGCCUUCACGCCGGGAUUAGGUGCCUUGAUUCUAAGUCCUGAAUGGGGGCGCAAAACAAAAGGUGAGUGGACCAAGUUCAUAUAUAUAUAUAUAAUAAUAAUAAUAAUAAUAAUAAUAAUAAUAAUAAUAAUAAUAAUAAUAAUAAAACAGUUAUCAAUGUACUAACCCCCAAAGUUUAUAUAAUGAAAACUACUAGCAUAAUAAGUGAUGGAUUUAAUAAAAAUCCUAGCAUGCCAAAUAUAUCUCAAAAGUCACAUCGCGGAAAUCAAAACAGUAAACGCAUCAUAAAACGUCUCGUAAACGCGAUGUGCUGCUAGAAAGAUCACUGAAUAAAUAUAACUCCCGGCCCAAUGCCUGCACCUCAGUCUCUGUGCCCGUAGCCAGAGAUAACUCCCUCCCGGCCCAAUGCCUGUCUCCGUGUCCCUCAGCCUUUCGCUAGGGAUUAUUUCUUCCGGCCCACAUGCCAACACCAGAUCCUCGCCCCAGGCGGCAUAGUGUCUACUAGUUACGCACAAAAUGUUACGCCUCUCGUAAAUACCACUUCAUAGUGUAGGUUACCGAUCAUCGUCUACACUAUAAAGAGGGGUUCAAAAACAUGUUCUAGCAUCCUAUCGUCAUCUAUCAGAUAAUCUACCAGUUCAUGGUUUUUAUAGAAAAUACGAAAUAUUAAAAUAUAGCUCAAUAUAGACUAACAAUUAAUUCCUCACCAAAACACGAGACGAUAAUCAAUAUAUUAAAUCAUCAGGCUUCACAUAAAUCCAAUUGUAAAUCCGUAGGCAUGCUAAUCAUUUAUGUAAUUGAAUUAUUAAAUCAUGUAAUUUUAGAAGGGGUCCACUCACAAAUAUUCCUUAGCAGAAGAGUCGCACGAAUAAGGAUUAAGAAUUUCUCCACUAGCAACAUUACCUAAGCACAAAAUGGUAAUAAUUAAAUAAAAGGAUUUUCUAAAAGAUUGAGCUUGAAUUAAAUAAAAUAAAGGAAUUGGGUUUGGAUGGAUUUAGGUUUUAAAGGGUUUUAGGAACCUAGGGUUUUUGGGUUAAAAUGGUUUUAGGGUGGAAAAAUGAUGGUUUGGGCUUAAGCCCAAAUACACCCACACUACAAUUACACACACAUGCACGGCAUGCACAUGCAUGCAUAGCAUGCAUAUACACACACGCACACAUGCACUAACUCACACACACACACACGGCCCGCAGGCCUUAAACCCAAAAAGGAAGACUGGGCUUUAAGCCCCAAUUUAAAAGGACUAGGCCCUAAGGCCCUUAGGUGUUGGGUUUUAAAAAGAACAUAACCAAAAUUAAAAACUGAACGGGCCACGGUACUGGGCUGGCUUCAAAACGGGUUAGGCCCGUGGGGAAAUUUGGGUGGCCUGAAGGCCUGGGUGUUUUCACGGAAGGGAAAGCCGGAGCUGUAGCUCCGGUAGGUGACGUCCUAGCAAACUAGGGUUCAAAACCAACAUUAAAAUGGAGAGGAGAACGAGAGGAGUAAUUCUAUACCAUUGCUUCGUUGUUGAAUGGACGUGUGUGACCGGAAAAAGCCCACGAAGGCCAGUGUUCGCCAUAAAGUUUGGGGGUUCUUUUCUUCUGUGGUGGCUCCGCCUUAACAUUGAGAAAACAACAUAAAUCACCACACAACCACCAACAACAAGAAGUUCUUUGAGGAAAAUAGAUCGAGGUCUCACCUAACCGAAAAAUAAAAGGAAGUCGCAGGAGAUUCGUUUCUCCGUUUGGGCCGACUUUAAUGCAGCGGGGACAGGAAAAUCAGGGCAAUGAUGGUGACUGGGCUGCUGGUCUUGUGCACAACUUGCAACGCAGGUUGUUUGGGUUGCUCACGGUGCAGCAGAAAAGAGAGAUGAGAGGGUGUUGAGCGAGAGAGAGAGAAGGAGAAAGAGGGAAAGAGGAAAAGGAGAGGGUCACGGGGGAUACAAAAAUAAAAGGGAUGGGCUCCUGGCUCACCAAUUAAGAAUUAAAAACCAUUUUUAAAUAAAAGGGGGGGAUUUAACAAUUUUGGCUAGAUUGAAAUGAAAAAAACAAGGAAAUGCUUUGUGUAUCGAUUUGUUUAUGAAGGAAAUAAAACAUGUGGUUACCUUUGUCUUCCUCUGCCAUUUGUCUAUCGAUUUGUUUCCGAAAGUGGCUAUUCUACAAGAUACAACAUGACAUGUCUUAGUUAGACCAAGUAACCGGCACGAAAAUGCUUUCUGAAGUAAGAAUCUGAACUCAAGAGCUUUAUGCCAGAGAGACUUAAGAAAAAUAAAAAAAAAAACAUAGAAAAUGGGUAAGAAUAAACAUCGAUCAGACAAUAAUUCUCGUAUAAAUCAUUUUUCAACUUUAAAGUGUGGCUUAAAAAGAAGCUUUAAACAAGUAGCAAUAAUUUCAUAUUGAAAAAUAAAACCUAUUUCAUGGAUAUUACAAGAGCCAUUAUUUUGAAAAACACACCUUUUGGUUUUUCACUGCUUGACUUUUAAGAAGAUCUUCGUCCUUGUGACGAUUCUGAUUCUUUAAAAUAUCUCUGCGAUGGAUUCUGAUUCUUUAAAAUAUCUCUGCGACGGAAUAAACAAAACCAAUCUAGGCCAAAAUUGACUUAUUCGAUUUGAUUAUGUUCACUGAUUUUUCUAUUCACAUUUUACCCCUACUUGCCAUAUAGUUUUCGGGGUGUUAGAGCAUAGUUCUCUUUUCUUUACACGCAAGUUUCAAUUUUAUUUAACGUAAAUUAAGAGACCAUUUGAUAAUCAUUUCGUUUUCAGUUUAAAAAAUAUAAAAAACUAAAUGGAGUUUUCAAAAUUUAGCCUAGAGUUUUUGCUUUUGAUUUUCAAUUUUAAUUUUUUUUAAACAACUGAAAACUAAAAAUAGUUACAAAAAGAAAUUUUCAGUUUUUAAUUUAAAAAAAAAAAGUAAAAACUGAAAACUCUAAACUGUAGACUAAAAAUUCAAAAAGUGAAAUCGAAAUGGGCUCUCAACAAAAUUGAAAAAAGACUGGGCUGAUUUAGUGAAUUCAAAGCAGAGCUUAUUAACGCUACGAGGCCCAAUGGAUCCGUAUAAAUAUUUUUUGUUAUUUUUUUUUAACUAACGAUAUUAUCUACGUGAACGUAACCUCACAAUUGGUUAGCAAUAAUGUAUUUCAAAUUUGUUUUUGGAAAAAAUCGAACAUAAGACCUCUCAAAUGAAGAGGAAUACCACUAAGUGGCUCGGUAUUUUAUUUUAUAUUUUAAGGAAAAAGAAAGAAAGCAAUGAACAGGUGUACAUAAACUAAACACAAAAGGUAAUGAAAUGAAGAGGAGUGGGAGACUUAACGUUUAAUUCAAGACAAAGAAAGGUAAUCGCACCACGACGGCGGCGACGUGGCGGUCAUUUAACAAAAUAACAGACAAAUCAACCUCCAGAUCAAGUCUUGAAGCACAACUCUGAAAAAUCGAGACUACCUACCGCUGAGCUCCUACCAACCGUUGAUGGAGGCAAUCAGGAAGCUCAGAGAUCAGGUCGCCAAGCAACAGCAGUUACUCUCUCUCUCUUGUUUGAUUCCGAAUUUAUAUUUCUGUAUGGAUUUUGAUAUGAACAUAACUGCGUUGAUUGCGAGAUACUGAGAUUGCUUAAUGAAAUAAUAUUUAUAUAAUUGUUCGAGUUGAAUUGGAUCGAUUCGAGUAGAAUUUCACUAUUUCUGAGCUGUUUGGGGCUCUGUUGGAGUGCAAUGUUGCUGAAUUUCUGAAAUUUUGAGCUAGGCGUUGCUAAUUACUUAUCGAUUUUGGGAAUUAAUUGGAUGCUUAAUUUUUACAUUUUCGGAAAACUUCAAGCGAAAAUGGCAUAUAAUUCAACGUUCUAUGCUUCAUUAAUGCAUAGGAGUUAGUCGAAGCUUUAUCGAGUUUGCUUUUGAUUAUUUUGUGAACACCGUCAGGCUGUGUUCAAACAAUUUUCUGGUGGCGUAUAUGGGGGAUCGGAUAAUGUUGCCUCGGAUGAAAAUGAAUUUCAACAGCAUCAGAAACUCGAGAAGCUGUACAUAUCAACUCGUGCUGCCAAGGUUGCUACUGUUAGACAAAUAGAAGUAUUAGUUGAUUGUAAUCCUAAUUAUAUUUGUAUUCCUAAUUUGUAUCCCUAACUUGUAGGGUUAAUACCUUGGUGUGCAAGGAAUGUGAUUGUAUAUAUUGGUAUUCACGUAUUAAUGAAAGAUACUUUUCAUCCACAUAUUCUUUUUCUACAUGGUAUACAGAGCAGGUUUUAAACCCUAGCUUUUUCAAAUUUUUUUUUUGGCAGCCAUCUCUGCCGUUUCUUUCUUUCACCAUGGGAGACUCUUCUUCUGAUGGUAACACUAACCCGUUUUAUCUUCACCAUUCCGACCAUCCCAAUCUUGUUCUUGUCUCCAAGAGGUUAAACGGAGAUAACUACACGACCUGGGCACGCGGGAUGCACAUCUCCUUAAGCGCCAAGAAUAAACUUGGUUUUAUUACGAGAGACAUUGAAGAACCUUCUGCUUCCAAGGACCCUGAUGCUCAUGCUUCCUGGAGGCGCUGCAACGAUAUGAUCCUUUCCUGGAUCCUUUCUUCCCUGGAGCCUGAUCUUGCCGACUCGGUUCUUUUUUCCACUACUCCCAAGGCUGUUUGGGAUGACCUGUGUGAGCGUUUCUCCCAAAGCAACGCUCCCCGUAUCUUCCAUCUGAAUCGUGAAAUUGCCACCAUCUCCCAAGGGUCAUCCUCUGUCUCUGCGUACUUCACUCGCCUGAAAGGGCUUUGGGACGAGCUCGCCUCCUAUAAUGAUGCCUAUUCUUGUUCUUGUGGCACCAAACAUGAUCGUCAGCACCUGAUGCAAUUUCUUAUGGGUCUUAACGAUUCGUUUGCCGCCGUCCGGGACCAAAUUCUUUUGAUGAACCCUUUGCCCACUGUCCGCCAGGCCUGUUCAUCUGUUUCUCAGGCUGAAAAGCAGCGCGCCAUAGGUUCUUCACGUCCUGCCGACCCCCCCCGCUGCCAUGGUUGUACGGAGCUCUUCUCGAUCUUCGUCCGACCGACCCCCUCUCCAUUGCACCUAUUGUGAUUAUGACUUCCACACCCGUGACACUUGCCAUAAACUGCAUGGGUAUCCCGUUGGCCAUCCCCUUCAUGGUCAGCCGUGGAGACCACCUCACCGCCAUUCGACUUCUACUGGUUCUGCGCGCAGCAGUGGAUCUGCUUCUUCUGGCCGUAGCAGCGUCGCUGCCUCUUCUGCCCGCAGCACUAAUGGUGCUUCUCGGUCCCCCUUAGGCCCCAGCGGCCCAUCACAACCUGGUCCAUCCGCCCAUCAUGUGAACAGUCAGCCCACUCUGCAUGAAUUGCAGGUUGCCAUGCCUACUCUUUUUGCCGAGCAACAUUCCCGCCUUCUUGCCGCUCUCAAUGACACCUCGCCACCUCCUCCUCAGGCCCAUGCCGUUACCAGUACUGAUUUUGCCCAAGGUUUGUUACCCGUGGCUUCUUGUCAUGGUCAAUGGAUCAUUGACAGCGGCGCCACAAAUCAUAUCACUUCUUCUGCUUCGUGUUUGGUUAAUACUUCUACGUCGCACUUGCCACCCGUUUCUCUGCCUAGUGGUGCCACCGCUCCCAUUACUUUAACUGGAACUAUUCGUUUAAAUUCCUCGAUUGAUUUGGACGAUGUUUUAUGUGUCCCUAACUUUAAAGUGGACCUUUUAUCGGUUGGUAAGCUUACAGAUGGUUUAUCGUGUUCCAUAACCUUUUUUCCUUCUUGGUGUGUUUUGCAGGACUUGGUUUCGAAGGCGACGAUUGGUGUGGGUAAGCGACGUGGCGACCUUUAUUACCUUGUGGCCCUUGCAUCCUCUCUCCCCACCCGUCAACCUCUAUGCAACAUCAUCACUAUACCUUCUCCCUUAUGGCAUCGGCGUCUUGGUCACCUUUCUUCUCGCAGUCUGCAAGUUCUAGCAUCUACUUUCCUUAAUUGUCCCUUAGAUUCUAGUCAUGUUUGUGAUGUUUGUCCUCUGGCCAAACAAACCCGUCAACCUUUUGGUUUAAGUUCAAUUUCAACAACUUUUCCUUUUGCUUUAAUUCAUUGUGAUAUUUGGGGUUCGAAUCGUCAAUCUUCCCUUACUGGCGCUCAUUAUUUUUUGACUAUUGUGGAUGAUUUUUCCCGCUUUACGUGGGUAUUUCUCAUGCAACAUAAAUAUGAUACUCAACCCAUCAUCAAACAAUUUUUUGCAUAUGUUCAAACCCAAUUUCAUACAAAGGUUCAAAGCAUUCGUACCGAUAAUGGCGGAGAAUUUAUUUCUCUUCGCAAUUUUUUUUCUGAUAAUGGGGUUCUUUUUCAAACUUCAUGUGUCUACACCCCCAACAAAAUGGCGUUGUUGAAUGCAAACAUAGGCACCUUCUUGAAGCUCGCGCCCUUCGAUUUCAAUCCCAUCUUCCACUCAAAUUUUGGGGUGAAUGUGUCCUUACCGCUGCCUAUACCAUCAAUCGUCUCCCUACUCGACUUUUGCAUAAUAAAUCUCCUUUUGAGGUCCUCCAUACUAAACCCCCAUCCUAUGACCACUUCCGUGUCUUCGGUUGUCUCGCUUAUGCCACUUCCAUCAACCCUACCACUAAAUUUUCCCCUCGGGCCCAUCGAUGCACCUUCAUUGGUUAUCCUCAUGGUCAAAAAGCUUACAAAUUAUAUGACUUAGAAACCCACCGCACCUUCACCAGUCGCGAUGUAAUUUUUCAUGAAAACAUUUUUCCUUUUGCUGCCACGCCCCCACCUACACCACCCAUCACCCCUCCUCUGUCUUUUCCACCUUCCCAAGAUAUUUCUUACCCACCCUCUCCCCGACCCACGUGUCCUUUCUCUCAUCCCUCACCUGCCACAUCACCUAUCCAUCCGUCCCCUAUUCCAGAUACCACCUCUCCACCCCACCCCAUUUCCAUCUCACCUUUCCCGUCCCCCACUAAUACCCUUUCCCAACCGGCCCCACCUAUUCCCUCUUCCACCGACAACCCCACUCCUUCCCCCACCCUUACGGUCCCCCCUCCUCAGUCACUACCCACUGCCAAUCCUUCUACCCGCACUUCUUCCCGCACCCACAACCCUCCCCAAUAUUUAAAGGACUAUGUUUGCUCGCAGGUGAUUCUGCCUCCACACCCUUCGUCGACUUCGCAGCCCGGUUCUGUCAAAGGUACGCGAUAUCCUCUUUGUAACUUUAUUUCUUACCACCGCAUCUCUCCACCCCAUCUUUCAUAUAUUUACUCCGUCAGUCGGAGUUUGGAGCCAUCUUCUUUUGCAGAGGCUGCUCGUGAUCCUAAUUGGCGUCGGGCCAUGGCUGACGAACUUGAGGCUUUACAUGCCAAUGGUACUUGGACAUUGACUCCCUUGCCUCAUGGCAAAGUUCCUAUUGCUUGUAAGUGGGUGUACAAACUGAAGCAUAACUCUGACGGUUCCAUAGAGCGUUAUAAAGCUCGCUCGGUUGCUAAGGGCUUCACUCAAGCUGCUGGUAUUGAUUAUCAUGACACAUUUUCUCCUACUGCUAAGAUGAUUACAGUACGUUGUCUUCUUGCCCUUGCUGCUAGUCAGUCUUGGUCUCUUCAUCAGCUCGAUGUUAAUAAUGCUUUCUUGCAUGGUGAUUUACAUGAGGAAAUUUAUAUGUCUCCUCCUCCUGGUCUUCGGCGACAGGGGGAGAAUCUUGUGUGUCGCCUUCACAAAUCUCUUUACGGUCUCAAGCAAGCUUCUCGCCAAUGGUUUGCCAAGUUCACUAGUGCCAUUAUUUCUGCUGGUUUUCAACAGUCCAAAGCUGAUUAUUCACUGUUCACCAGAAAGUCCGGUAAUUCCUUCACAGCCUUACUCAUUUAUGUGGAUGAUAUUGUGAUUACAGGCAACGACGUCAGUGCCAUCAAUGCUUUGAAAUCUUUUCUCCAUGACCAUUUUCGGAUAAAAGACCUUGGUGAUUUAAAAUAUUUUUUGGGUAUUGAGGUUUCUCGAUCCCAACGUGGGAUUUAUAUUUCACAGCGUAAGUAUGCAUUAGAGAUUCUCAAGGAUUAUGGUUUUCUGGGAGCACGGCCCAUCGCUUUUCCUAUGGAUGAUACUAAAUUAUCUGAUAAAGGAGAACUUCUCAAAGAUCCUGAAAAGUAUCGGCGUUUAAUAGGACGGCUAAUCUACCUUACUAUAACUCGGCCGGAUAUCACUUAUUCCGUGCAUGUUUUGAGUCGGUUUAUGCACGAGCCACGUAUACCUCAUAUGGAUGCUGCACUUCGUGUUGUUCGUUAUUUGAAGUCUACGCCAGGUCAAGGCUUAUUAUUUAGUUCUGACAAUCAAACCAAAUUAACUGCUUUCUGUGACUCUGAUUGGGCAGGUUGUCCUGUCACUCGCCGUUCGACUACUGGGUAUUGUGUAUUCUUGGGAAAUUCUUUGAUUUCGUGGCGGACAAAGCGUCAGAAAACUGUUUCACUUUCUUCAGCUGAGGCAGAAUACAGGGCUAUGGCAGGUGCUUGUUGUGAGUUAAUUUGGCUUCGUUUUUUGUUGAAGGAUUUGAACAUUCCUUUAGGAAGUCCUUCCGUCUUGUUUUGCGAUAAUCAAGCAGCGUUACAUAUAGCAGCUAAUCCUGUUUUUCAUGAACGAACUCGUCAUAUUGAGAUGGAUUGUCACUUUAUACGAGAUAAGAUUGCAGAUGGAACUAUAGCAACCAAGUUUGUGGGUACGGCGCACCAAUUGGCAGAUUUGUUCACCAAGCCUCUCGGGAAGGACAAGUUUUCGACUAUGUUACGCAAGUUGGGAGUUCUUGACAUCCACUCUCCAACUUGAGGGGGAGUGUUAGACAAAUAGAAGUAUUAGUUGAUUGUAAUCCUAAUUAUAUUUGUAUUCCUAAUUUGUAUCCCUAACUUGUAGGGUUAAUACCUUGGUGUGCAAGGAAUGUGAUUGUAUAUAUUGGUAUUCACGUAUUAAUGAAAGAUACUUUUCAUCCACAUAUUCUUUUUCUACAGCUACGCUUAUUUUUUGUCUGUGCUUUAAACGAGCAUCACGUUAGUUGUGUUACCUAUCGUUUUUUGCUUCUUCUUUAACAGCAUUACCAAAAGGAAAUUGUCCACGGAGUGGAAGGUUACAUUGUGGCCGGUUCAAAUGCGUUGUCUUUUCUUGUGAGUUUGGAUAUGAAUUCAUGUUGGUAUUAUCAGUUGGUAUACAUAAUACUUUUUCAACAGGUACCAAGGUAUCAGAAGAUAGCAGGAAAUAUGGUUCUGAAAAGACUUGCACCAGUGGUAACACAUUGUCGAAAGCUGCACUGAGUUCUGGAAGAGCUCGGGCCCAAAUGGAAAAAGAGUGCUGAGUUCUACUUAAAGCCCUUGGCACACAGGUUUAAGUCAAAUUAUUACUAACAAAUGGCUCGUUAAGUAAAAAUCAAAUAUUGCCAGGGCCGGCUUCACACAAAUGGAAUUUCAACUGACUAAUUUUCGUGUGCAUUUGAUCAUUUCGAAAGAAAUUUACAGUAAAAAUUGUUUCCAUUUUCACAUGUGGUUGAAGAACUGGACUACUUUUUGUGUUAUUAUGCAUCAUAUGACAAACUGGUUCACCAUUUCUUUCUAUAGGUUUGCAUAAUAACUCUUUCUGUACUUAUCAAUUUGCCUUUGUAGGUUGUAGAGCCUUUAAGAGCAAUGAUAGUGGGAGCACCCUUGGAGGAUGCUCGACAUCUAGCUCAACGAUAUGCUAGAAUGCGGCAAGAAGCUGAUGCUCAGGUACAUGCAGUUUCUUCUGUUUCCUGCCAAUUUUGUACUACAGUGAUUUUGUAUGUUACAUGGUGAUCGUACAUUUUCUCGGUUAACUUUUUUUGUUUUCUUUUCAAAGUGUUUGGGUCUAGUUGAUGAGUUUUGUUACAUGGUGAUCGUACAUUUCCUACCAAUUUUACACUACAGUGAUUUUAUAUGUUACAGAGAUCGAGUAGCAAAGCGCAGUGCAAAAAUUGCCUACUAGUAAGUGGGCCUAGUUGAUGAGUUUUGUAAGUCUUUCUGUACUCAUUUCUCUUAUUGUUUGUCCUGGUUUAAGAGUCUGAGGAUUUUCUCAGUGGUGAGUUUUACCUUGUUAAAUCCUACAUCAUGUGUACACAUGUUAUUUGUCUUUUUAAUUGCAAAUGUGUAGAAUAAUCUUUCACUUAUUUUCUUGUAGUGAACCCUAUCUUAGACAUUCAUCAACAUAUAGAGUUUAUGACAGAGGACUUUGCUACUAUAUUAUUCAGUGCAUUGAUUAAUUUGUAAAGUGCUCAUUUAUCCUAAUUAUAAAAUAUAAUAUGUACAAGACCUUAAUGUGGCCAUAUCCUUUAUUUCUACCAUUCUUAUCAACCGGAUGGGGAGAGAUUGUCUUCGUCUCACAAACCCAUAAUGUGGCAAUCGUCCAUAAGAAAAUCUUUGUACAAUUAAAAGUGCAAUUAAAAGAUGAGCAACGAUCAAUAUAAUUGUUAUUUAUAAAAUCACACAUAAAACAAGAAGUAAUCUUUUCUUUUUCUUUUCAUCUCUGCCACUAGCGGCCGGCCAUGACUUAAAGAAACGUUUUUUUGGGUCAAUGGAUGGGAACGACCCAUUUUAUAAUUGUUUGUAAAUUUUUCUGGAAGUAGAUGGAAAUGACCCUUGCAUUGCACCUAGCAAACACCAGUUUUUUUGUUUGAACAUCGAUCCACAUCAAUGGCUCUUGUGAGAACAUCUCCAGGAACCUCCUCUGAUUCCAACGCUUUUCAGAGUUAUCGCUACGAUGCGUUCUUGAGCUUCAGAGGCGAAGAAACUCGCAAGACUUUUACCGACCACCUCUACACAGCCUUGAACAAUGCAGGAUUUCUUACAUUCCGAGACGAUGAUGAACUUGAGAGAGGAGAAGAUAUAAAGCCAGGACUGCUGAAAGCGAUCCAGCAGUCACAAACUUCUGUUGUCGUGUUUUCGAAAGAUUACGCGUCAUCCAGGUGGUGUCUUGAUGAGCUUGUGCUGAUCCUUGAACGCAAGAGGACCACCUCGGACCAUGUAGUUUUACCAGUCUUCUACGAUGUCGAUCCGUCCCACGUGAGGAAGCAGGCAGGAAGUGUUGGAAAAGCAUUUGCUAGAAGCCAGAAAAAUCAGUCGUCGGAAAAGGUGGAGGGAUGGAGGAAGGCACUUGCAGAGAUUGCAGACCUAGCAGGCAUGGUCUUACAAAAUCAAGCUGAUGGGUAACUUUCAUUAUCUCCAUUUCUUUUCUCUUUCUUGGGUUAAUUUGAUGUAUGAUCCGUAGUGACCAAGAAUUUAAUAUAUUUAUUAAUUCAAUCUCCAUUUAGGUCAACUUAAAGAAAUCACACUCAACUCAACUUAAGGAUUAGUCAUUUUCCAUGUUAAUCUACUGGUUUCCAGUUGCUUAAAUAUUUUUGAAAGCUGGUGUGGAAAAAACUUAGGAUGUGAUCUGUAAUGUAUUUGUCUAUAGUUCGUAUAAAUUAUGCGUUGUAUUCCUUUUUUAGGAAAACUAAUAAAAAAGUCUUUAAAACUUUGAGUUUUAACGAUAAGGACAAAAUAAAGGGUAAAGCGAAUAGUAUCAGGAUUGACUUUUUAGUGUAAAAAUGUGGUUUUUCGUUAAAAUGAACAGUACCAGAAGUUUUUCGUUAAAGUUCCCUUUUUUUUCAAUUUAAUUUUGUCAGCAUUCCUCUUUUUUUUCUUAUUUAAACAAAGGCAAUCAACAUAUGUUUUAAUUAUCUAAUUUCCCCAAUUCAUUUUUCAUUUUGUUUGCAAAUUCUUAGGUACGAGUCAAAGUUUAUCAAAAAAAUUGUUAAAGUGAUAGGAGACAAGUUAAGUCGCACGCCGUUGAGUGUUGAACCAAAAUUGAUUGGAAUUCAAUCUCAAGCCAAACGCAUCAAUUUGUGGUUACAAGAUGGAUCAAGUGAUGUUGGUAUAUUUGUUGUGUAUGGCAUAGGGAAGACAACCAUUGCAAAACAUGUUUACAAUUCAAACUUUAGAAGCUUUCAAGGAAGUAAUUUCAUUGAAAAUAUCAAAGAAACAGCAGAUGGACCAAAUGGCUUAGUCCAAAUACAAAUGCAACUUCUUUGUGAUAUUUUGAACGGCAGAGAAGUGAAAAUACAGUGUUAGUGAGGGAAUAAUUAAGAUUGAAAGGGCCAUAAGCUCUAGAAGAGUUCUACUUGUUCUUGAAGAUGUUGACCAAAUGGACCAAUUAGAUGCAAUCCUAAGGAUGAAAGAUCAGUUUUAUCCGGGAAGUAAGAUACUAAUAACAACUAGGCGUGAAAGGUUGCUAAAGGCAGAUCAAGUUACAGAGGUGCACAGAGUUCAAACUUUGGAUUACAAUGGAUCAUUAAAGCUUUUCAGUUGGCAUGCUUUUGGCCAGGACCAUCCCAUAGAAGAAUACAUGGAGCACUCAAAACAGCUAGUGCAACAUAGCGGCGGACUUCCAUUAGCUCUAAAAGUUUUGGGUUCUUCUUUAUCAGGGGAAAGUAUAGGUCUAUGGGAAAGUGCAUUGGAGAAGCUAAAAGUUAUUCCUGAUGCUGAAAUCAUGAAUAAGCUAUGAAUAAGCUAUGAAAGUUUAAAAGAUGACCAUGACCGGAAAUUAUUCCUCCACAUUGCUUGUUUCCUAAUAGGAAGGAACAAAAGCUACAUUGUUAGAAUAUUCGAUGGAUGUGAUUUCUAUACAAUCAUUGGCAUUCAAAAUCUUAUUGAUAGAUGCUUGGUGACACUUGAUGAAAACGGCAAGGUGAAAAUGCAUGACAUGAUUCGUGCUAUGGGAAGAGAAAUUGUUCGUCAAGAAUCAGAAGAGCCUGAGAAACGUAGUAGAUUAUGGCGCCAUAAGGAUUCUUUCCAAGUAUUGAGGAAAAAGAAUGUAAGAAACAUGCCUUUUAUGUCUAUAUAUGUAUUUCUUCUUGUGAAAAUUAUGCAUAUUAAUGUCUCUUUUUUUUUCCUUUAGGGUACAAAAAAAAUCCAAGGUCUUGUCCUGGAUAUGCGUAACCAUCCAACAAACAGUCCAAUAAACACAAAUGAGAUAGUCUUGGAAACCAAUGCAUUUGCAAGGAUGUGCAAUUUACAACUACUCCAUCUUAGUCAUGUACGACUGGAUGGAUGUUAUGCAGAUUUCCCUACAGGAUUAAGAUGGUUGUGUUGGCUUGAAUUUCCUUUGGAUUCUAUACCAAUUGAUUUUCCUUUGGAGAACGUAAUUGUUCUUGAAAUGCAAUACAGUAGCUUGAGACAAGUAUGCAAAGGAACAAAAGUAUGUUACUCUAUGCAUUUCAAUUCAUUUUCCUUAUUUUGUUAGUUUUUUAUUUGUCGACCAACUCCAUGUGUUAAAAUGAACUACUAUGUUUUCUUUAAUUCGAUGACUAAUUUGUUAUAUUAGAUACUUAUUUCAUUCUUCUUUUUUUUUUCUUUUUUUUCCCUCUGUUUCCACAGUUUCUUCCAUCAUUGAAGAUCCUUGACGUCAGCCAUUCUCAUGGCCUUAGUGAAACCAUUGACUUCUCACUUUUCCCCAAUCUAGAGGAACUGAUUCUUGUAGAUUGCACAAGCUUGAAGAAUGUUCAUGAAUCCAUUGGAAACCUGGAGAGACUCGUGUACUUGAAUAUGAAGGAUUGCAAGAAUCUUAGGAUGUUUCCGAAGAACAUGUGUAUGCUUAAAUCACUUGAAACCCUCAUUUUAUCUGGUUGCUCAAAUCUUGAUGAGUUUCCAGUGGAGAUGAUGAAGAAGAUGGAGUCUCUGAAAGUUCUUGAGACAGAUGGAAUUCCAAUAAGUGAAUUGUGGCAAGAAAGAAGUUCAACUAUCUUGAGUUCUUUUCCAUGCUUUUUAGUAGAGUUAAGUCUGAAGGGGUGCAAUCUUUCUGAUGAUGUCCUUCCUACGGAUUUAAGUAAUCUAUCCCUCUUGCGAAAACUACAUUUAGAUGAGAAUCCAAUUUGCAGUCUGCCAGUUUUCAUUAAAGGUUUGAAAAGGCUCGAUGAACUCUCUUUCAAGGGUUGUGAUAGGCUCGAAUCGCUUGUGGGGUUGCCGGAAGUACACCAAAUUAUAAUUGUAGCCGAAUGCAUAUCAUUAAAAAAAAUAACAUCUCAUUCCCCUAAGGAAUUGUGUUCAAUAUGUACGGAUCAGAACUUGAAUCUUUUUGAGUGCUCAUGGUGUUACAAAAUAGAGCUUAUUGAUACAGUUGAUGUGGAAAUGAUCAAACUUUUGGGCUUGUGCAACUUGGAAUCCAUGCCAGCUGUUCGAAUGCAUUAUCCAAAAGAGUUCCAACAGGAACUUGAAACUUUCAGAGAGGUCCCAGUCCAGGUGCGCCUCUCUUUCUCUCUCUCUCUCUCUCUCUUAAGUCUUAAAUAUAUAAAAUGGGAAAGAAAUGACUGACUAAUGUUGUGAUGACUAUGGCAAAUACAUAGGGACUGUAUCAUCAUGGUAUAUUCAGCACCUUUUUUGUUGGGAAUGAUGUUUCAGGCCGGUUCAGCUUUAAAAGUACCAAGUCAUCGAUAUCUUUUAUUGUCCCUUUACUACAUGCUAGUCACAGAAUUCGAGGCUUGAACAUCUUUGCUACCUAUGCAAAGGAAAAUUGGAAUUUUCUUAAUGAUUCUAGUAUGGCUCCAAUAACUAUCAAAGUGAGAAACAAGCAAGGGUCUGGAGUGGAUCUACAGCCCAUUAUUCCAUGGUGUCCCAGGUCGUGGAGAAGAUAUGAUAUGGUUGAGCCAUUGGAAGAUGGAGAAUAAAACAAUAUUUCAAUGUGGAGAUGAAGUGGUGGUUUGGGUAAUAAUCGAACCACGUGACUUUUGGGUAAAGGAGUUUGGUGUCGAGCUUGUGCAAGAGCACCAAGACAAGAUGAGUACCCAACACAACACCAAAUCAGAUUAUCCAUUUAUUAUCGGUGGAUAUUCGCGGAAUUGGACGAGCAGACGGAGAAUAUACUUCCAUGGCAAUUAUAGCGCAGAUGAUAUUGACGAGAUUGAUAUGCUCACCAUGGACUCUGAUGAAGAAGACACAAGUAUGUUGUGUUGUUGUAUUGCAUUGAAUUAUACUCCAUCCAAACACUUCCAGGUGUGUUCGUAUUCAUUUCAAAAAGUUUCCAAUAAAUUUUAUGUUAUUUGUAUGUUUUUCAGACAAAGAAGGGCAAGAAGAUGAACCUGAUUACAUAGUUGCAAAGACGAGGGCUGCUAGCAAUAACUGCAGCCUGAGAGGCUGGAAGGUGCGCCUUAUAGCUGUCGGCUUCUUUUUCGCACUUGCUCUAGUAGGUUGGUCCUCCAUCUCCCAAAAAAAGAAGCGACACAUGUCCACAAGCCCACCAUGAGUUUGUAAUUUGACUUGAUAUAGAUAUGUCUUUGCAUUCCUUGCUGUCAAGAUGUUUUCUACCUUCAAAAUUUCAGGUUCAGAGCUAAGUACUCUUAACCGUUUGAGAUAUAAAAAUCCCUUGCAACUAGAUACCGAAGUUCAAAUGUGUUCAACGCCAUCAAAUAUAGCAUAAAAUGCAUCCAGCAUUAGCGAUACUAGCAGAGUAGCAGUAAAUAAGUAAAACAAAAAAAAUGCUUCUACACAUGGUAAGGGAAGGACUUUGACAUAGGUAUUUUUUUUUUGGGGGGGGGGGUGGGUGGGGAUUAUGUCGGCACAGGGGAAAACAAAAACAUCCUAUCUGCUUAUAAAUAACAAAGUUACAAAUCUUAAUUGUCGUUUACAACAAAAUCAUUCUUAAAGACUCGGCUCCCCAUUGAAAUUGUGUAAAUUGCAUAAAUAUCAAUACAACAGAUAUUAGACAGAAUAAUAUAUAUCAAAUAAAUUAACAACAGGCAAUUUCUUAGCCUGAGAUCCAAGGACUUUACAACUGGUUCAGCCUUGCAUCGCUACUAAACUACAGAAUCAAUCUAAGCAAGCACAUUGGCUCCAGUCAAUUGAUUUAAAAGAGUACUCUUGCCAGCAUUGGUGUACCCAACCUUGUUUCUCAGCCCAACAUGCACAAAAUCAACACCGUGUAGAAAACUAAAAACCACCACCAAAUAAAUGUGAAUUCGACAACGUCAACGUAUUUACUUACCAAAGAUACUAUAGGUACCGAAAGGUGGUGAUUACGAUACUGCUUUCUAUGCUUUCGGACAGAUUCUAACUCCUUGACAACACGAUCUAGUAUUACAGACAUUUUUACUGUCAAAUCAAUUUCCAGACAAAAAUCUACGGUUGUCAAGGAAGUAUAGGAGGAACGGCCAUAGUCUUUGGAGCCAUGAAAUUUACUGUCUUCUCAUGAACAUUGUACCUCCAAAAGCAUGAUGCAAUAAGCAUUCAAUAAUCUGACCUAGUUUGCUCAACAGAUGCUCCAAGAUAUUCCAAAACAAAGUCAUAGCAUUUUCACAUAGGGAACCGAAGAAUCUAUUGAUACCUUAUCUUGCAACUCUUAAGAGGCUCUUCUGUCAACAAUCUUCCUCUUCUAAGCAUGCAACUUUUUAAAGAAUAAAAGGUUUGUCUCUGCGAAUAAUCAAGUUCCAAGCCCACUAUUGAAAAUCAUGUUCAUCCACUCUACACUUCCAAAGCAGCAAACUAACAAUUUCAAAAGCUUUAAAUGCAAUCUGAAUACAUGGCAAGUAGGGGUAAACAUGUGAACAGAAAAAUCAGUGAACAUAAUCAAAUCGAAUAAGUCAAUUUUGGCCGAGAUUGAAAUGAAAAAAACAAGGAAAUGCUUUGUCUAUCGAUUUGUUUAUGAAAAUGGCUAUUCUACAAGAUACAGCAUGACAGGUCUUAGCUAGAACAAGUAACCGGCAUGGAAAUGCUUUAUGAAGCAAGAAUAUGAACUCAAGAGCUUUGUGCCAGAGAGACUUCAGAAAAAUGAAAAAAAAAAAUAUAAAAUAUGGGUAAGAAUAAACAUCGAUCAGACAAUAAUUCACGUAUAAAUCAUUUUUUCAACUUUAAAGUGGUGGCUUAAAAAGAAGCUUUAAACAAGUAGCAAUAAUUUCAUAUUGAAAAAUAAAACCUAUUUCAUGGAUAUUACAAGAGCAUUUAUUUUGAAAAACACACCUUUUGGUUCUUCGCUGCCUGACUUUUAAGAAGAUCUUUGUCCUUGUGACGAUUCAGAUUCUUUAAAAUAUCUUUGCAACGGAAUAAACAAAACCAAUCUAGGCCAAAAUUGACUUAUUCGAUUUGAUUAUGUUUACUGAUUUUUCUGUUCACAUGUUUACCCCUACUUGCCAUGUAGUUUUCGGGGUGUUAGAGCAUAGUGCUCUUCUCUUAACACACAAGUUUUGAUUUUAUUCUUCGUAAAUUAAGAGACCGUUUGAUAAUCAUUUCGUUUUCAGUUUAAAAAAUAUAAAAAACUAAAUGGAGUUUUCAAAAUUUGGCCUAGAAUUUUCGCUUUUGAUUUUUAAUUUUAAUUUUUUUUAAAACAACUGAAAACUAAAAAUAAUUACAAAAGGAAAUUUUCAGUUUUAAAUUUUCCAAAAAGUAAAAACUGAAAACUCUAAACUAUAGACUAAAAAUUAAAAAGUGAAAUCGAAAUGGGCUUUCAACGAAAUUGAAAAAAGACUGGGCUGAAUUAGUGAAUUCAAAGCAGGGCUUAUUAACUCUACGAGGCCCAAUGGAUCCGCAUAAAUAUUUAUCGAUAUUUUUACGCUACGAGACUCAAUGGAUCUGUAUAAAUAUUUUUUUUUUUUACAAACGAUAUUAUUUAUAUGGGCUUAACCUUAAAAUGAGCUAACAAUAAUGUGGUUCAAAUUUGCUUUUGACGAGAAUCGAACAUAAAACUUCUUACUUACAAAUGAAAAGAAAUACCACUAAAUCGUAGUCUGAGUGGCUCGUUAUUUUAUUUUAUAUUUUAAUAAAAAAGAAAGAAAGCAAUGAAAAGCUGUACAUAAACUAAAUACAAAAAGGAAUGAAAUGAAGAAGAGUGGGAGACGAACGUUUAAUUCAAGAUAAAGAAAGAAAGGUAAUCGCACCACGACGGCGGCGACGUGGCGGUCAUUUAACGGAAAAUAACAGACAAAUCAGCCUCCAGAUCAAGUCUUGAAGCACAACUCUGAAAAAUCGAGACUACCUACAGCUGAGCUCCGACCAACCGUUGAUGGAUGCAAUCCGGAAGCUCAGAGAUCAGGUCGCCAAGCAACAGCAGGUACUCUCUCUCUUGUUUGAUUCCGAAUUUGUAUUUCUGUAUGGAUUUUGAUACGAGCAUAAUCUGCGUUGAUUGCGAGAUACUAAGAUUGCUUAAUGAAAUGAUAUUUAUAUAAUUGUUCGAAUUGCAUUGGAUCGAUUCGAGUAGAAUUUCACUAUUUCUGAGCUGUUUGGGGCUGUGUUAGAGUGCAAUGUUGCUGAAUUUCUGAAAUUUUGAGCUAGGUGUUGCUGAUUACUUAUCGAUUUUCGGAUUUAAUUGGAUGCUUAAUUUACAUUUUCGGAAAACUUCAAGCGAAAAUGGCAUAUAAUUCAACGUUCUAUGCCUCAUUAAUGCAUAAGAGUUAGUCGAAGCUUGAUCGAGUUUGCUUUUGAUUAUUUUGUGAACACCGUCAGGCUGUGUUCAAACAAUUUUCUGGUGGCAUAUAUGGGGGAUCGGAUAAUGUUGCCUCGGAUGAAAAUGAAUUUCAACAGCAUCAGAAACUCGAGAAGCUGUACAUAUCAACUCGUGCUGCCAAGGUUGCUACGCUUAUUUUUGUCUGUGCUUUAAACGAGCAUCACGUUAGUUGUGUUACCUAUCGUUUUUUGCUUCUUCUUUAACAGCAUUACCAAAAGGAAAUUGUCCGCGGAGUGGAAGGUUACAUUGUGGCCGGUUCAAAGCACGUUGAAAUAGGUAUGUUGCUUGAAAUGUGUUGUCUUUUCUUGGGAGUUUGGAUAUGAAUUCAUGUUGGUUUUAUCAGUUGGUAUACAUGAUACUUUUUCAACAGGUACCAGGCUAUCAGAAGAUAGCAGGAAAUAUGGUUCUGAAAAGACUUGCACCAGUGGUAACACAUUGUCCAGAGCUGCACUGAGUUUUGGAAGAGCUCGGGCCCAAAUGGAAAAAGAGUGUGGAGUUCUACUUAAAGCUCUUGGCACACAGGUUUAAGUCAAAUUAUUACUAACAAAGCUCAACAACAACAACAACAACAACAACAACAAAGCCUUUUCUCACUAAGUGGGGUCGGCUAUAUGAAUCCUAGAACGCCAUUGCGCUCGGUUUUGUGUCAUGUCCUCCGUUAGAUCCAACUACUCUAAGUCUUUUAGGUCUUCCUCUACCCCUUCGGCCCUGAACCUCUGUCCUAUAGUCACAUCUUCGAACCAGAGCGUCAGUAGGCCUUCUUUGCACAUGUCCAAAUCACCGGAACCGAUUUUCUCUCAUCUUUCCUUCAAUUUUGGCUACUCCUACUUUACCUCAGAUAUCCUCAUUCCCAAUCUUAUCCUUUCUCGUGUGCCCACACAUCCAACGAAGCAUCCUCAUCUCCGCCACACCCAUUUUGUGUACGUGUUGAUGCUUCACCGCCCAACAUUCUGUGCCAUACAACAUCGCUGGCCUUAUUGCCGUCCUAUAAAAUUUUCCCUUGAGCUUCAGUGACCUAUGACGGUCACACAACACGCCGGAUGCACUCUUACACUUCAUCCAUCCAGCUUGUAUUCUAUAGUUGAGAUAUCCAUCUAAUUCUCCGUUCUCUUGCACGAUAGAUCCUAGGUAGCGAAAACGGUCGCUUUUUGUGAUCUUCGCUAGAUUGCUCCGGUCAUUAGUGUGGAUAAGUAUAUAAAUGGAUAGAGACAGGAAAGCAAACACAAGAUGUACGUGGUUCACCCAGAUUGGCUACGUCCACGGAAUAGAGAAGUUCUCAUUAAUUGUGAAGGGUUUACACAAGUACAUAGGUUCAAGCUCUCCUUUAGUGAGUACAAGUGAAUGAUUUAGUACAAAUGACAUUAGGAAAUAUUGUGGGAGAAUGAUCUCGUAAUCACGAAACUUCUAAGUAUCGGAGUGCGGUAUCGUCUUGACUUGCCUUAUCUGUCUCAUAGGUAGAUGUGGCAUCUUCUUUGGAAGUACUCUUCCUCCAUUAGGGGUGGUAUCUUUAACUGGUGGAGAUGCACAAGGUAAUGUAUCAAUUUCACUUGAAGCUUACUUGUAGUUUCAGGCUUGGUCAAGCGCGAUACAAACCAUGUAGUAGGAGUCCCCCAAGUCGCCGAGCUAGAGGAUCUGCUGAAAGAGGUGACAGACAAGGUAAGCAAUCAGAGCUCCGGCUGAUUGUUCACAUUCUCCCUAUCUUGCAGGCAGCAUGAAGGAUAAAGAGAAGAACAUGAGAAGAGAUGAUAUGGGAUACUUUUGCUUUUGAAGAAGUAACUUUCCACAGGCUUAUUCUUGAACUGAGCUGGAGGGUUUUCUGGUUUCCUCCAGAGUAUAAGGCCGACUGAAGAAUUUGAGGGUCAAAACAAGUCCAUCAAAUCUAGAGUACGUUCGACCCUGCUGAUAUGGGAUACUUUUGCUUUGACAGAGUAAUGGAUGUAUCGGCACGUGUGCUGUUUCGCUUGUCUCCACAUGCUUCCUUGUAUCCUUCUCCCUUGCCCUAUCUGUUCCUCAGGCAGAGAUGCGGUAUCUUCCCUGGAAGCAUAAGAUGUUGAAGAUGAGUACUUGAGAGCAAUGGCAGGUAAGUAAUCAGGUAAGGGGUUCCAGGCAGUCAGUUCCUGGCUGGAAGCUUGAUUCCAAGUGCUGACUGAUUGCUCUCUUUCUCCUUGUCUUGCAGAUAAGAACAAGGCCAAAGGAAAAGACAGGGAAAAAAGCAUGAUAUGGAGAUACUCUUGCUUUUAACCCUGAUGAUAUGAGAUAUUCUUGCUCUAGUAUAGCUUGUUUGCAGAGGAUAUUAUCGGGGGGAAAGAAAGCUGAAUAUUUCGAAAGGCUUCGUUGGGAGUGCCCUCUCAGAUAUGAGGAAGGGUUGAGCAUUUUUGCAGGUCUGCCUGUCCGUUGGGAAUGGAGGUCGACAUAUAUAGGAAUCUCCUUAACAACAAGUAGUAAUGCUAUUCCUUUACCCUACUUGGUCAUAGCACGGUAGUGGGAGCUGCCAGCUUCACAUGUUUUAACUCUGUCAGAGCACUUUGAAAAAGUGGUCUGUGGUAUCUGGAAAUGUGAUGUUGCGUGUGAAGAUUACAGACAGCUUUAUCCAAGGAGAUCCGGCUCUUGAAGUUGGGAAAGUGUUGCCUCUUCGGUUUUCGAACAAGCAAUCCUAUCGGGGAUCUGGCUCUCGAGAUUCGGAGAACGAUGCCUCUUCGAUUUUUGAGAAAGCAAUCAUGCUGGGGGUCUGGCUCUCGAGAUUUGGAGAGCGGUGUCUCUUCGAUUUUUGAGAAAGUAAUCAUGUUGGGAGUCUGGCUCUCGAGAUUCGGAGGGCGGUGCCUCUUCGAUUUUGGAGCAAGCAAACUUGUUGGGAGUGUUUUCUCGAAUGUGAGUAAAGGUUGGGCAUGUUUGCUAGUCUACCUUGCCACGAAGCACAGAGGUUGACACAUAGGGACUUUCCAAUUAUCCAGCAAUGGUACUGUUCCUUUACCCUCUCUUCGAUUUUUGAGAAAGUAGUCAUGUUGGGAGUCUGGCUCUCGAGAUUCGGAAGGACGGUGCCUCUUCGAUUUUGGAGCAAGCAAUCUUGUUGGGAGUGUUUUCUCGAAUGUGAGUAAAGGUUGGGCAUGUUUGCUAGUCUACCUUGCCACGAAGCACAGAGGUUGACACACAGGGACUUUCCAAUUAUCCAGCAGUGGUACUGUUCCUUUACCCUUGUGGGUAAUAAUAUGGUAGCUAGACCUUCAAAAUUUAUGUGUCUAAACUUUGUUAGUGCUGUUUCUUUGCUAUUGUUUUUACCCUUCUUGGUCAGAGCGAUGUAGUGGGAGCUGCAAGCUUCACGUGCUCAACUUUGGCAGAGAACUUUGGCAAAGUUAUCUGUGGUACCCAUGAGCUACUGUUGCGUGUGGGAAGUGGGUGAUUGAACAGUAAGAUUCAUGUGCUUUCUACUUCACCAGAAGUCUUCGACAGAAUGCCCAUAAUUUCCGCAAAGCUGAGUGUGCGUGUGACAGGUGCUGACAAGGCUGGAAAAGUAGGUGCCUCUUCGAUUUCUGAGAUCGGCCCUCGUGGUCUCUGAGCAGCCCAGCUUUUGAGAAAGCAAGCGCCUCUUCGAUUUCUGAGAUCGGCCUUCGUGGUCUUUGAGCAACCCAGCUUUUGAGAAAGCAAACGCCUCUUCGAUUUCUGAGAUCGACCCUCGUGGUCUCUGAGCAGCCCAGCUUUUGAGAAAGCAAACGCCUCUUCGAUUUCUGAGCAGGCGCCUUCUUCGAUUUCUGAAGCUCCGUCGAGUGCAGAUUUUUAUAGGGGCUGGCAUUAAGUUCCAAAGCACACUUGAAUCUCCACCAGUAGAAGCUCCAUUCUUGCACUUCUAAGAUCUUGAUUUGUCCGACCUCUUCUCUCUUCAACACCUUUGAAAAUGUCUGGCCCCUCCGACCGUCGUUUUUGACUUGAACCUUGUUGAAGAGGCAGCCACGCCUUCUCCAGACAACAUAUGGCGCCCAUCAUUCGUCUCCCCUACUGGUCCUCUUACCGUUGGGGAUUCCGUGAUGAAGAAUGAUAUGACCGCUGCGGUGGUGGCCAGGAACCUUCUCACUCCCAAAGAUAACAGACUACUUUCCAAACGGUCUGAUGAGUUAGCUGUUAAGGAUUCUCUGGCUCUCAGUGUUCAGUGUGCAGGUUCUGUGUGUCUAAUAUGGCCCAACGCCUAUUUGCUCGAACCCGCCAAGUUGAAUCAUUGGCGGCUGAAGUGAUGAGUCUCAAACAGGAGAUUAGAGGGCUCAAGCAUGAGAAUAAACAGUUGCACCGGCUCGCACAUGACUAUGCUACAAACAUGAAGAGGAAGCUUGACCAGAUGAAGGAAUCUGAUGGUCAGGUUUUACUUGAUCAUCAGAGAUUUGUGGGUUUGUUCCAAAGGCAUUUAUUGCCUUCGUCUUCUGGGGCUGUACCGCGUAAUGAAGCUCCAAAUGAUCAACCUCUGAUGCCUCCUCCUUCUAGGGUUCUGUCCAGUACUGAGGCUCCGAAUGAUCCCCCUCCGGUGCCUUCUCUUUCUGGGGCUCUACCGACUGCUGAGACUUCUCCUAAGCAACCUUUGUGAAGGCUCCCUCUUGUUUGUUUAUUUUGACUCAUGUAUAUGUACAUAUUUGUAGCUUAUCGGGGAUAUCAAUAAAUAAGCUUUCCUUCAUUUCAACGUAUUGUGUUAAAUACACCAAAGCCUUCUUCGCUAAGUUCUUUGAAUUUUCUUUUGUUGAAGCUUUGUGAGUGGAGCAUGUAGGUUGAGGUAGUGUUCCCUUAAUUUUCCGAGUGAGGAAAACUUCUCGGUUGGAGACUUGGAAAAUCCAAGUCACUGAGUGGGAUCGGCUAUAUGAAUCUUAGAACGCCAUUGUGCUCGGUCCUGUGUCAUGUCCUUCGUUAGAUCCAAGUACUCUAAGUCUUUUCUUAGAGUCUCUUCCAAAGUUUUCCUAGGUCUUCCUCUACCCCUUCGGCCCUGAACCUCUGUCCCAUAGUCGCAUCUUCUAAUCGGAGCGUCAGUAGGCCUUCUUUGCACAUGUCCAAACCACCGUAACCGAUUUUCUCUCAUCUUUCCUUCAAUUUCGGCUACUCCUACUUUACCCCGGAUAUCCUCAUUCCUAAUCUUAUCCUUUCUCGUGUGCCCACACAUCCAACGAAGCAUCCUCAUCUCCGCUACACCCAUUUUUGUGUACGUGUUGAUGCUUCACCGCCCAACAUUCUGUGCCAUACAGCAUCGCCGGCCUUAUUGCCGUCCUAUAAAAUUUUCCCUUGAGCUUCAGUGGCAUACGGCGGUCACACAACACGCCGGAUGCACUCUUCCACUUCAUCCAUCCAGCUUGUAUUCUAUGGUUGAGAUCUCCAUCUAAUUCUCCGUUCUUUUGCAAGAUAGAUCCUAGGUAACGAAAACGGUCGCUCUUUGGUAUUUCUUGAUCUCCGAUCCUCACCCCUAACUCGUUUUGGCCUCCAUUUGCACUGAACUUGCACUCCAUAUAUUCUGUCUUUGAUCGGCUUAGGCGAAGACCUUUAGAUUCCAACACUUCUCUCCAAAGGUUAAGCUUUGCAUUUACCCCUUCCUGAGUUUCAUCUAUCAACACUAUAUCGUCUGCGAAAAGCAUACACCAAGGAAUAUCAUCUUGAAUAUGUCCUGUUAACUCAUCCAUUACCAACGCAAAAAGGUAAGGACUUAAGGAUGAGCCUUGAUGUAAUCCUACAGUUAUGGGAAAGCUUUCGGUUUGUCCUUCAUGAGUUCUUACGGCAGUCUUUGCUCCUUCAUACAUAUCCUUUAUAGCUUGGAUAUAUAUGCUACUCGUACUCCUUUCUUCUCUAAAAUCCUCCAAGAAUGUCUCUUGGGACCCUAUCAUACGCUUUUUCCAAAUCUAUAAAGACCAUGUGUAAAUCCUUUUUCCCAUCUCUAUAUAUCUUUCCAUCAAUCUUCGUAAGAGAUAGAUUGCCUCCAUGGUUGAGCGCCCUGGCAUGAACCCGAAUUGGUUGUCCGAAACCCGUGUCUCUUGCCUCAAUCUAUGCUCAAUGACUCUCUCCCAGAGCUUCAUUGUAUGACUCAUUAGCUUAAUACCCCUAUAGUUCAUGCAAUUUUGUACGUCGCCCUUAUUCUUGUAGAUAGGCACCAAAGUGCUCGUUCGCCACUCAUUUGGCAUCUUCUUCGUUUUCAAAAUCCUAUUGAAAAGGUCAGUGAGCCAUGUUAUACCUGUCUCUCCCAAAACUUUCCACACUUCGAUUGGUAUAUAUCGUCUGGGCCUAUUGCUUUUCUAUGCUUCAUCUUCUUCAAAGCUACAACCACUUCUUCCUUCCGGAUUCGACGAUAAAAAGAGUAGUUUCUACACUCUUCUGAGUUACUCAACUCCCCUAAAGAAGCACUCCUUUCAUGUCCUUCAUUGAAAAGAUUAUGAAAAUAACCUCUCCAUCUGUCUUUAACCGCGUUCUCUGUAGCAAGAACCUUUCCAUCCUCAUCCUUGAUGCACCUCACUUGGUUUAGGUCCCUUGUCUUCUUUUCCCUUGCUCUAGCUAGUUUAUAGAUAUCCAACUCUCCUUCUUUGGUAUCUAGUCGUUUAUACAUAUCGUCGUAAGCCGCUAACUUAGCUUCUCUCACAGCUUUCUUCGCCUCUUGCUUCGCUUUUCUAUACCUUUCACCAUUUUCAUCGGUCCUAUCCUUGUAUAAGGCUUUACAACAUUCCUUCUUAGCCUUCACCUUUGUUUGUACCUCCUCAUUCCACCACCAAGAUUCCUUUUGGUGUGGGGCAAAGCCCUUGGACUCUCCUAAUACCUCUUUUGCUACUUUUCGGAAUACAACUAGCCAUGGAAUCCCACAUUUGGCUAGCUUCCCCCUCUCUAUCCCACACACACUGGGUGAUUACUUUCUCUUUGAAAAUGGACUUGUUUUUUUCUUCUUUUAGAUUCCACCAUCUAGUCCUUGGGCACUUCCAAGUCUUGUUCUUUUGUCUCACUCUUUUGAUAUGUACAUCCAUCACCAACAAGCGAUGUUGAUUAGCCACGCUCUCUCCUGGUAUAUAACUUUGCAAUCCUUACAAGUUAUACGAUCCCCUUUCCUCAUUAGAAGAAAAUCUAUUUGUGUUUUUGACGACCCACUCUUGUAGGUGAUCACAUGUUCUUCUCUCUUCUUAAAGAAGGUGUUGGCUAAGAAAGAGAUCAUAUGCCAUUGCAAAAUCCAAGAUAGCUUCCCCAUCCUCGUUUCUCUCCCCAAAACCAUGGCCACCAUGAAAACCUCCAUAGUUGCCUGUCUCCCUGCCCACGUGUCCAUUUAAAUCUCCUCCUAUAAAUAACUUCUCCGUCUGAGCAAUUCCUUGCACCAAGUCUCCAAGGUCUUCCCAAAAUUUCUCCUUCGAACUCGUAUCCAACCCUACUUGAGGUGCGUACGCACUAAUCACAUUGAUAAGUUCUUGUCCUAUUACAAUCUUGAUUGCCAUGAUUCUAUCUCCUACCCUCUUGACAUCUACAACAUCUUGUGUCAAGGUCUUGUCCACGAUGAUGCCAACACCGUUUCUCGUUCUAUUUGUGCCCGAAUACCAAAGUUUAAACCCUGAGUUUUCUAGAUCCUUUGCCUUACUACCAACCCACUUAGUUUCUUGUAGGCACAUAAUAUUUAUCCUUCUCCUCACCAUAACUUCCACUACUUCCAUAGAUUUUCCCGUUAAGGUUCCUAUAUUCCACGUUCCUAAACGCAUUUUGCUCUCUUGAACUCUACCCUUCUGUCCUAACUUCUUCACCCUCCCCCGUUUAAUAAGAUCAAAGUACUUCUUUUGUGUGUCCCGUGUAAAGUUGAUAGGAGCAUAUGCUCCCAAACAACUUUGAGUGGAGUCGUUCGAAAAGAAGUUUCUAUGGCCCCCUUGCUCAUUUAACACUGCAUCCGGGUGCCGAUGGAGAUACAGUGACCCUUGCUCACUUAUCACUGUGCUCGGGCCACACAGCGCGCCACUUACGGGUGACGCCCUAGCUUUAGCGCGAUUUUGUUCUGGAUUCAUUUUCAUAAGGAUUCGACGUGAUCAUGGAGUGCCGGCUGUCGACUACCUGACGUCCUCCCCCUCCUCCUUUAUCCGGGCUUGGGACCGGCAAUGUAACAAAGCUCAUUAAGUAAAAUUCAAAUAUUGCCUGGGCCGGCUUCAUACAAAUGGAAUUUCAACUGACUAAUUUUCGUGUGCAUUUGAUCAUUUCGAAAGAAAUUUACAGUAAAAAUUGUUUCCAUUUUCACGUGUGGUUCAAGAACUGGACUACUUUUUGUGUUAUUAUGCAUCAUAUGACAAACUGGUUCACCGUUUCUUUCUAUAGGUUUGCAUAAUAACUCCUUCUGUGCUUAUCAAUUUGCCUGUGUAGGUUGCAGAGCCUUUAAGAGCAAUGAUAGUGGGAGCGCCCUUGGAGGAUGCUUGACAUCUUGCUCAACAAUAUGCUAGAAUGCGGCAAGAAGCUGAAGCUCAGGUAUAUGCAGUUUCUUCUGUUUCCUCCCAAUUUUAUACUACAGUGAUUUUACAUGUUACGUGGUGAUCGUACAUUUCUUCGUUUAACUUUUUUUGUUUUCUUUUAAAAGUGUUUGUUCAUUUUGAGACAAUCAUGCAUUGGUAUUCAUAGAGAACGCAAAAUCUUAAGAUGUUUAAUGUAAACUUGUUAAGAUUGCUUUAUUACUUGAAGCUUUGUUGUAAUUUGGUUUUUGGUUUUUUUUUUAUUACUCCUUCAGAUUUGUCUAUAUAUACUAACUUGCACCGGGAUUCUGCAGGUAAUGCUGACAUUAUCAUGAAACUAGAAGCUGCUGAAGCCAAGCUUCAGGAGCUGCAGUCUACCGUUGCAAUAUUGGGAAAAGAAGCUAGUGCAGCUAUGGCUGCUGUUGAAGGUCAACAACAAAGAUUGACUCUUCAGCAGCUUCUUGCAAUGGUAAAGGAUUGCCUCCCCUUUUUGUUUAAGUAUGAAGACCUUGGCCUGUUCUAGUUACAAGACUGAAAAGGAAAUUAAUUUUGUAAAUUUGUCCUUUUUCAUCCCCAUUCAAGGUGGAAGCAGAGCGCAACUAUCAUCGGAACGUUCUUCAGAUACUUGAUCAGCUUGAAGGCGAGGUAUGAAAUAUCCUAAAGUCUUCCUUUCAGCAUGACAAUUUCGUAUCCCAAUUCAUUUGGCUCUAUAUUAUUCUAUUGUCUUGCUACUAAAAGCAGAGAUCAUUGACACUAUUUGUUGGGACAGAUUUUGGCAGAAAAGCAGCAAAUUGAAGCAUCGCAUAGUCCACCUACAGAGGACACUAUGCCUCCACUACCAUCGUAUGAGGAUCUCAGCCGUAGCUUUGCUUCUGAAACCUAUGAUGAAUUGACAGAGUUGAGGGACUCUUUCUUUGGAGGGGUAUCUUUAUGCUAAUGUUGUUGUAUCCAAGUUUUAGUCUGUUCGACUCUUUAGUUUCUAAUAACUGUUUCUUUUCACCUACCGCAGGUUAUGUACACCUUCCACGCUGUAACUGAUGUGGAGUUAAGUUUGUCAUUCGGGGAUUACAUUGUGGUCCGGAAGGUUCUGUCGUCUUUCCUGCUUGCAUGCUUUCAUCUUAUAUUCAUGUUCGGAUUUAUUUCUUUCGUAUUGAGGUUAAAUUUUCAUGUUCAGAGACGUCCACUCAGGUAUGUUCGUCAAUGCAUAUGCAUUAGCACACCACCGAGUGCAUUAGAAUAUGGAUUUCAGUUUUGGAUGCUUCAUGCAUUAAUGUAGUUUGUGUGGUUUUGGUUAUUGCUGCCGCUGAGCGUGAGUGGCUUUCUGUAGUUGCUGAGAGUUAUAUUGUGAGCAUAAUUCAUACAGCAGCUUUCAUAUACGGCACAUGUAGUCGGCAGCACUGCAUUUAGAAAGAGAGAGUUAUAUUUUCUUCACUGUUUAUUCAAAACUUAUAUGUUGCAUGUUCUGGCUUUUAAAGUGAGUCGGCAUCAGAGUUUUUAUUUGAGAAAAAUCAGUUUUGUGUCCAUGUGUUUUCAAAGAAAAUAUUUUAGUUUUUAAUCACUGAUUUUUCAUUGUGCUUCAAUUAGAAAUUAAUUAUGAGAAUCUGCCUUGUGAUUUUCGUAAUUGGUUGAUUCAAAAAAUCUUUACAUUUCAUACAUUUUGCAUGAUCUCGUUAGUAUCUUGCAAAGUUCAAUGACACAGUGAUUGACGGUCGCGUUAGUGUCGUGCCACUUUCACUUGAAAGCUGAAGAGAGAUCGAGUAGCAAAGCGCAAUGAAAAAAAUUGCAUACUAGUAUGUGGGCAGUGGCGGAUCCAGGAUUUUAAACUCGGGGGGUCCCAAUAAUAAAUUUCAAAAAAAUUAUAGACAAAAAUAACAUUAAAAAGUUAAAUAUAAUACAUUUCAUUCAAAAUCAUACGCAAAACAACAUUACAAGCUAUAAAAUCACAAAACAACAAAUCGUCGUUUUUUCUUUGCAUGCAAAGUGUAUGGGAACUCAUGCUUUGUAGGCCUACAAGGUCCCAUUUGCAAAUAUGUUCUUUGAACCUCAUCUUGAAUAUUAGAAGAAUAGUCCUUCAUUCGAAUUCUUUUUCUUGGGUCUCUCUCAAGAUUAUUAAAAUCAACGUCACACUCAUUUUGUCUUGAGCUCGAACUACCAGAACAAAUAAAUGGUGCUAUUGGCUUUGGAAGGAAAAAUCUUUCCAUAUUUCUUAUUUGUAAACUACAUAUUUAAGCAAAAACAGAAAACAUAUACCGAUUAACCAAUAAACAAAAAUUCCAUCUAAAUUCCAAUGAUAAAAUGAGUAUACAAACAUAAAACAUAUCAACAAUCAUAUCAAUAAUAGACUAAAAAUCUCCAUCAAUAUCUAAUAUAAUUUAAUUGAGAUUAGAUUAGAAUUCUAAAAAACUUAAUUGAAUUUUGAACCAAAUAGUGGUGGAGUGGAGAAUUAAAACAAGUGGAUGUAUGAUAUUGGACUUACGUAAUUAUAAUAUGGGAUUGGGUCAUGGGUGAGAUUAGAAAUUUAGGGUUUUGAAAUGGGGGGAAAGAGGGAACCAAAUAAUAGGGAAUUGGGGGAAAAGCAGCAGGGAAAGAGAGAACUUUGGGGAAGGGCUCAGGGGGGCUGGGCUUUAAAAUUAAAGCAAUAUUGAGUCAUCAUGCAUGGCAAACGACAACGUUUGUCUACCUUUUUGUUUUUUUAUACUUAAAACAAUGGGCCAAAACACAGCCGUUUUGGACCAAUUGGUAAAAACCCCUAUUUUCUUUCUUCUUCCCGCAGCGUCUUCUUCUUCACUGCUACCUGCAACUGCAACCUGCAACCUGCACAGCAGCUCAAACCUUGUGUUCGAGGGGUCCCCCGGAAAUUUUCUAACAGGGAUUUAGGGUCGCCGAAGGGUCCUAGGACCUCCCAGGUCCCUCUGUAGAUCCGCCACUGUAUGUGGGUCUAGUUAAUGAGUUUUGUAAGUCUUUCUAUACUCAUUUCUCUUAUUAUUUGUCAUGACUUAAGAGUCUGAGGAUUUUCUCAGUGGUGAGUUUUACCUUGUUAAAUCCUACAUCAUAUGUACACAUGUUAUUUGUCUUUUUAUUGCAAAUGUGUAGGAUAAUCUUUCACUUAUUUUCUUAUAGUGAACUCUAUCUUAGACAUUCAUCAACAUAUAGAGUUUACGACAGAGGACUUUUGCUACUAUUAUUCAGUGCAUUGAUUAAUUUGUAAAGCGCUCAUUUAUCCUAAUUAUAAAAUAUAAUGUGUACAAGACAUUAAAAAAAUGGAAGUGUCUUUCAACAGUUUGAAUGUCAUGUAUGGCCAUAUCCUUUAUUUCCACCAUUCUUAUCAACCGAAUGCGGAGAGAUUGUCUUUAUCUCACAAACCCAUAAUGUGGCAAUCGUCCAUUAGAAAGGUAACGUACGUUUUGAAAAUCGUGGCAAAUAUUGAAUGAGUAAUGAUGCCUCUAAAAAUAAAGUAACGAAUAAUCAACAGAAGUAGCAGUACAUCAAGUUGGAUCUUUUUCAAUGUUGAAAUGAAAUAUGAAAGUAGAUCAAGUUGCUAUUAUUCAUCCUUUUUUUUUUUUUAAAUAAACAAUAUUGUUUACAUUAAGAAGAGGAAGAAGUUAGCUAAGUCUUACAAUACGCUAGCAAUAAUAUGGUUAAAAUUCGCAUUUGGUAAUAAUCAAACCUAAGACUUCUCACGUACAAGUGAAGAAAAAUUUCAUUAGACCGUAACAUUAUUCAUCCACUUUUACAUAAUGAAUAAUCAAGAAAAACAUUGCACGGGUCCCCCUUACCACUAGUGGCCAUCACUUCCCUGAGCAAAAGAGAUCUUUCAAAUGGAGGAGGAUUCUUUACCUUCCUAUUUCCAUUCUCUUCCAUUUUCUCAUCUCACACAUUACUUUUUAUCUUAUUAUCUCUAUAAAUAAAUCAAUAUAAAAUGUUGACACACAUUACUUUUUAUCUUAUUAUCUCUAUAAAUAAAUCAAUAUAAAAUGUUGACGUGGUUUAACUGUGACUGUUCCAAUAGAAGGAGAUGGAAAAGUAGAGAUAUUAGGAGGGUAGAGAAUCCUACUUCUUUUCCAAUUGCUUGAUCAAAACAAGCAUUGACUUGGCCGUCCAUUCAUCGAUAACAGGUCCACAUCUCAAUCCAAAUAUAAUGACGUCAAAGGAGAGGGGAAAAUGAGAAGGAAACUUUGGAGGGUAGAGGGAAGGAAAAGGAGAAAGGGAGAAAGGGAGAAAGUAGAAGGGAAAAGUAGAAAGAGAAGAAGGAAAAUGAGAGGAAAUUUCGGAGAAUAGAGAAAAUGAGAAGGAAACUUUGGAGGGUAGAGGGAAGGAAAAGUAGAAAGAGAAGAAGGAAAAUGAGAGGAAAUUACAAGUGCCACAUUAUUAUGCGGUUCUAUCAAGUUUUAAUUUUUGUCUCAUAACCACAUCAUUUUUAGGAAAAUCAAUAUUGGAGUUGAAUAUAUAAACCUUCGAUAUGGUGAUAUUGGAAACAAUAGUUGGUGGGUUGAUUGGUAGAAAUGGUUCCAACAAUUCAAGGACGAGAAAUGAGCAUUGAGCAACGAUCAAAAUAUGUUGUAUUUUAUUACAAAAGAUCUUUGUGCAAUUAAAAAUGCAUUUUAUCACAAAAACAUGAGCAACGAUCAAUAUAAUUGUUAUUUAUAAAAUCACACAUAAAACAAGAAGUAAUCUUUUCUUUUUCUUUUCAUCCCUGCCACUAGCGGCCGACCAUGACUUAAUUAAAGAAACGCUUUUUGGGUUAAUGGAUGGGAACGACCCAUUUUAUAAUUGUUUGUAAAUUUUUCUGGAAGUAGAUGUAAAUGACCCAAUUACAUAUUUCCCCUGCUCACAGACGUUUGCAUUGCACCUAGCAAACACCAGUUUUUUUGUUUAAGCAUCGAUCCACAUCAAUGGCUCUUGUGAGAACAUCUCCAGGAACCUCAUCUGAUUCCAACAAUUUUCGGGGUUAUCGCUACGACGUGUUCUUAAGCUUCAGAGGCGAAGACACUCGCAAGACUUUUACCGACCACCUCUACACAGCCUUGAACAACGCAGGAUUUCUUACGUUCCGAGACGACGAUGAACUUGAGAGAGGAGAAGAUAUAAAGCCAGAACUGCAGAAAGCGAUACAGCAGUCACGAACUUCUGUUGUCGUGUUUUCGAAAGAUUACGCGUCAUCCAGGUGGUGUCUUGAUGAGCUUGUGCUGAUCCUUGAACGCAAGAGGACCACCUCGGACCAUGUAGUUUUACCAGUCUUCUACGAUGUCGAUCCGUCCCACGUGAGGAAGCAGACAGGAAGUGUUGGAAAAGCAUUUGCUAGAAGCCAGAAAAAUCAGUCGUCGGAAAAGGUGGAGGGAUGGAGGAAGGCACUUGCAGAGAUUGCAGACCUAGCAGGCAUGGUCUUAAAAAAUCAAGCUGAUGGGUAACUUUCAUUAUCUCCAUUUCUCUUCUCUUUGUUGGGUCAAUUUGAUGUAUGAUCCGUAGUGACAUAGAUUUUUAUAUAUUUAUUAAUUCAAUCUCAGUAGUGAAUAAUAAUCCCAAUUUAGGUCAACUUAAAGAAAGCACACUCAACUCAACUUAAGGAUUAGUCAUUUUCCAUGUUAAUCUACUGGUUUCCAGGUGCUUAAAUUUUGUUUGAAAGCUGGUGUGGAAAAAAGUUAGGAUGUGAUCUGUUUUGUAUUUGUCUAUAGUUUGUAUAAAUUAUGCGCUGUAUUCUUUUUUUUUUUCAAUUUAAUUUUGUCAGGCAAUCAACAUAUGUUUUAAUUAUCUAAUUUCCCCAAUUCAUUUUUCAUUUUGUUUGCAAAUUCUUAGGUACGAGGCAAAGUUUAUCGAAAAAAUUGUUAAAGUGAUAGAAGACAAGUUAAGUCGUAUGCCAUUGAGUGUUGAACCAAAAUUGAUUGGUAUUCAAUAUCAAGCCGAACGCAUCAAUUUGUGGUUACAAGAUGGAUCAAGUGGUGUUGGUAUAUUUGUUGUGUAUGGCAUGUCUGGAAUCGGGAAGACAACCAUUGCAAAACAUGUUUACAAUUCAAACUUUAGAAGCUUUCAAGGAAGUAGUUUCAUUGAAAAUAUCAAAGAAACAGCAGAUCGACCAAAUGGCUUAGUUCAAAUACAAAUGCAACUUCUUUGUGAUAUUUUGAACGGCAGAGAAGUGAAAAUACACAGUGUUAGUGAGGGAAUAAUUAAGAUUGAAAAGGCCAUAAGCUCUAAAAGAGUUCUACUUGUUCUUGAUGAUGUUGACCAUAUGGACCAAUUAGAUGCAAUCCUAAGGAUGAAAGAUCAGUUUUAUCCUGGAAGUAAGAUACUAAUAACAACUAGGCGUGAAAGGUUGUUAAAGGCUGAUCAAGUUACAGAGGUGCACAGAGUUCAAACUUUGGAUGACAAUGAAUCAUUAAAGCUUUUCAGUUGGCAUGCUUUUGGCCAGGACCAUCCCAUAGAAGAAUACAUGGAGCACUCAAAACAGAUAGUGCAACAUAGUGGCGGACUUCCAUUAGCUCUAAAAGUUUUGGGUUCUUCUUUAUCAGGAGGAAGUAUAGGUGUAUGGGAAAGUGCAUUGGAGAAGCUAAAAGUUAUUCCUGAUGGUGAAAUCAUGAGUAAACUAAGAAUAAGCUAUGAAAGUUUAAAAGAUGACCAUGACCGGAAAUUAUUCCUCCACAUUGCUUGUUUCCUAAUAGGAAGGAACAAAAGCUACAUUGUUAGAAUAUUCGAUGGAUGUGAUUUCUAUACAAUCAUUGGCAUUCAAAAUCUCAUUGAUAGAUGCUUGGUGACACUUGAUGAAUACGGCAAGGUGGAAAUGCAUGACAUGAUUCGUGCUAUGGGAAGAGAAAUUGUUCGCCAAGAAUCAGAAGAGCCUGAGAAACGUAGUAGAUUAUGGCACCAUAAGGAUUCUUUCCAAGUAUUGAGGAAAAAGAAUGUAAGAAACAUGCCUUUUAUGUCUAUAUAUGUAUUUCUUCUUGUGAAAAUUACGCAUAUUAAUGUCUCUUUUUUUUCCUUUAGGGUACAAAAAAAAUCCAAGGUCUUGUCCUGGAUAUGCGUAACCAUCCAGCAAACAGUCCAAUAAACACAAAUGAGAUAGUCUUGGAAACCAAUGCAUUUGCAAGGAUGUGCAAUUUACAACUACUCCAUCUUAGUCAUGUACGACUGGAUGGAUGUUAUGCAGAUUUCCCUACAGGAUUAAGAUGGUUGUGUUGGCUUGAAUUUCCUUUGGAUUCUAUACCAAUUGAUUUUCCUUUGGAGAACGUAAUUGUUCUUGAAAUGCAAUACAGUAGCUUGAGACAAGUAUGCAAAGGAACAAAAGUAUGUUACUCUAUGCAUUUCAAUUCAUUUUCCUUAUUUUGUUAGUUUUUUAUUUGUUGACCAACUCCAUGUGUUAAAAUGAACUACUAUGUUUUCUUUAAUUCGAUGACUAAUUUCUUAUGUUAGAUACUUAUUUCAUUGUUCUUUUUUCUUUUCUUUUUUUCCCUCUGUUUCCACAGUUUCUUCCAUCGUUGAAGAUCCUUGACGUCAGCCAUUCUCAUGGUCUUAGUGAAACCAUUGACUUCUCACGUUCCUCCAAUCUAGAGGAACUAAUUCUUGUAGAUUGCACAAGCCUGGAGAAUGUUCAUGAAUCCAUUGGAAACCUGGAGAGACUCGUGUACUUGAAUAUGAAGGAUUGCAAGAAUCUUAGGAAGCUUCCGAAGAACAUGUGCAAGCUUAAAUCACUUGAAAUACUCAUUUUAUCUGGUUGCUCAAAUCUUGAUGAGGUUCCAGUGGAGAUGAUGAAGAAGAUGGAGUCUCUGAAAGUUCUUGAGACGGAUGGAAUUCCAAUAGGUGAAUUGUGGCCAGAAAGAAGUUCAACUAUCUUGAGUUCUUUUCCGUGCUCUUUGGUAGAGUUAAGUCUGAAGGGGUGCAAUCUUUCUGAUGAUGUCUUUUCUACGGAUUUAAGUGCUCUAUCCUACUUGCGAAGACUACAUUUGGAUGAGAAUCCAAUUUGCAGUCUGCCAGUUUUCAUCAAAGGUUUGAGGAGGAUCGAUGAACUCUCUUUCAAGGGUUGUGAUAGGCUCGAAUCGCUUGUGGGGUUGCCGGAAGUACACCAAAGGCUAAGUAUAAAAGAAUGCAUAUCAUUAAAAAAAAUAACUUUUCAUUCCCCUGGGCAACAUUAUCUAACACGUGUAUUUUGCCAUGACAACCCGAAUCUUGUUGAGUGUGAGUGCUAUUACAAGUUAGAGCCUAUUGAUAGAGUUGAUGUGGAAAUGAUCAAACUUUUGGGCUUGUGCAACUUGGAAUCCAUGCCAGCUGUUCGAAUGCAUCAUCCACUCACAAACUGGGAUCUAAUAGAGGUCCCCGUCCAGGUGCGCCUCUUUUUCUCUCUCUCUCAUAAGUCUUAAAUAUAUAAUGGGAAAGAAAUGACUGAGUAAUGUUGUGAUGACUGUGGCAAAUACAUAGGGACUGUAUCAACAUGGUAUAUUCAGCACCUUUUUUGUUGGGAAUGAGGUUCCAGGCCUGUUCAGCUAUAAAAGUACCAAGUCCUCGAUAUCUUUUAUUGUCCCUUUACUACUUGCUAGUCACAGAAUUCGAGGCUUGAACAUCUUUGCUACCUAUGCAAAGGAAAAUUCAAAUAAUUAUUCUACUAGACCUAAUAUUGGUCCAAUAAUGAUCAAAGUGAGAAACAAGAGUAAGGGUCUGAAGUGGAUCUAUGACCCAUUUUUCUAUGGAAUCCCAAGUGACGGAGAAGAUAUGAUAUGGUUGAGCCAUUGGAAGAUGGAGAAUAAAACAAUAUUACAAUGUGGAGAUGAAGUGGUGGUUUCGGUAAUAACUGGACCACGUGACAUGUUUUGGGUCAAGGAGUUUGGUGUCGAGCUUGUGCAAGAGCACCAAGACAAGAUGAGUACCCAACACAACACCAAAUCUGAUCCUAAUUAUCCAUUUGUUAUUGAUGGAGAUUUGAAGAUGUUUGAGGACAGACCGGGAAAAUACUUCCUUGGCAGUUAUUUUAUAGAAGAAAUUGAUGACAUUGAUAUCCUCACCAUGGACUCUGAUGAAGAAGACACAAGUAUGUUGUGUUGUUGUAUUGCAUUGAAUUAUACUUCAUCCAAACACUUCCAGGUGUGUCCGUAUUCAUUUCAAAAACGUUUCCAAUAAAUUUUAUGUUAUUUGUAUGUUUUUCAGACAAAGAAGGGCAAGAGGAUGAACCUGAUUACACAAUUGCAAAGACGAGGGCUGCUAGCAAUAACUGCAGCCUGAGAGGCUGGAAGGUGCGCCUCACAGCUGUCGGCUUCUUUUUCGCGCUUGCUCUAGUAGGUUGGUCCUCCAUCUCCCAAAAAAAGAAGCGACAAUCGUCCACAAGCCCACCAUGAGUUUGUAAUUUGACUUCAAAUGUGCUUGCUCUAGUAGCUAAGCACUCUUAACCGCUUGAGAUAUAAAAGCCCAUUGCAACUAGAUACUGAACUUCAAAUGUGUUCAACGCCAUCAAAUAUAGCAUAAAAUACAUCCAGCAUUAGGUUCCAAGCCCACUAUUGAAAAUCAUGUUCAUCCACUCUACACAUCCAAGGCAGCAAACUAACUAGGAUACCAGGUUGGGAGGAUACAAUCAUUAACAAUUUCAAAAGCUAUAAAUGCAAUCCGAAUACAUGGCAAGUAGGGGUAAGCAUGUGAACAAAAAAAUCAGUGAACAUAAUCAAAUCCAAUACGUCAAUUUUGGCCUAGAUUGAAAUGAAAAAAACAAGGAAAUGCUUUGUGUAUCGAUUUGUUUAUGAAGGAAAUAAAACAUAUUUCAUGGAAAGAAAACCUGUGGUUACCUUUGUCUUCCUCUGCCAUUUGUCUAUCGAUUUGUUUCUGAAAGUGGCUAUUCUACAAGAUACAACAUGACAGGUCUUAGUUAGACCAAGUAAACGGCAUGGAAAUGCUUUCUGAAGCAAGAAUGUGUACUCAAGAGCUUUGUGCCAGAGAGGUCGUCGUACCCAGUGCACAAGGCUCCCGCUUUACGCAGGGUCUGGGAGAGGUGAAUGUCGGCUAGCCUUACCCCUAUUUAUGGAGAGGACUUAAGAAAAAUGAAAAAAACAAUAUAGAAUAUGGGUAAGAAUAAAUUUCGAUUAGACAAUAAUUCACUGUAUAAAUCGUUUUUUCAACUUUAAAGUGUGGCUUAAAAAGAAGCUUUAAACAAGUAGCAAUAAUUUCAUAUUGAAAAAUAAAACCUAUUUCAUGGAUAUUACAAGAGCCAUUAUUUUGAAAAACACACCUUUUGGUUCUUCACCACUUGACUUUUAAGAAGAUCUUCGUCCUUGUGACGAUUCAAAUUCUUUAAAAUAUCUCUACGACGGAAUAAACAAAACCAAUCUAGGCCAAAAUUGACUUGUUCGAUUUGAUUAUGUUCACUGAUUUUUCUGUUCACAUGUUUACCCCUACUUGCCAUAUAGUUUUGGGGUGUUAGUGCAUAGUGCUCUUCUCUUUACACACCAGUUUCAAUUUUAUUCUUCGUAAAUUAAGAGACCGUUUGAUAAUCAUUUCGUUUUCAAUUUAAAAAAUAUAAAAAACUAAAUGAAGUUUUCAACUAGAAUUUUCGCUUUUGGUUUUCAAUUUUAAUUUUUUUUAAAACAACUGAAAACUAAAAAUAGUUGCAAAAAGAAUUUUUCAUUUUUUUUUAAUUUAUAAAAAAGUAAAAACUGAAAACUCUAAACUAUAGACUAAAAAUUAAAAAGUGAAAUCGAAAUGGGCUCUCAACAAAAUUGAAAAAAGACUGGGCUGAAUUACUGAAUUCAAAGCAGGGCUUAUUAACGUUACGAGGCCCAAUGGAUCUGGAUAAAUAUUUUUCAUUUUUUUUUAACAAACGAUAUUAUUUAUAUAGGCUUAAUUUUACAGUGGGCUAACAAUAAUGUGGUUCAAAUUUGCUUUUCGCAAGAAUAGAACCUAAAACUUCUCACUUAUAAAUGAAGAGGAAUACCACUAAACCGUAGUCCUGAUAGAUUCGUUAUUUUAUUUUAUAUUUUAAGAAAAAAGAAAGAAAGCAAUGAAAAGCUGUACAUAAAAUAAAUACAAAAAGGAAUGAAAUGAAGAAGAGUGGGAGACUAAUGUUUAAUUCAAGAUAAAGAAAGAAAGCUGAUCGCACCACGACGGCGGCGACGUGGCGGUCAUUUAACGGAAAAUAACAGACAAAUCAGCCUCCAGAUCAAAUCUUGAAGCACAACUCUGAAAAAUCGAGACUACCAACAGCUGAGCUCCGACCAACCGUUGAUGGAUGCAAUCAGGAAGCUCAGAGAUCAGGUCGCCAAGCAACAGCAGGUACUCCCUCUCGUUUGAUUCCGAAUUUGUAUUUCUGUAUGGAUUUUGAUAUGAACAUAAUCUGCGUUGAUUGCGAGAUACUGAGAUUGCUUAAUGAAAUAAUAUUUAUAUAAUUGUUCGAGUUGAAUUGGAUCGAUUCGAAUUCAAAUAGAAUGUCACUAUUUCUGAGCUGUUUGGGGAUGUGUUGGAGUGCAAUGUUGAUGAAUUUCUGAAAUUUUGAGCUAGGUGUUGCUAAUUACUUAUCGAUUUUUGAUGUAAUUGGAUGCUUAAUUUUUACAUUUUCGGAAAACUUCAAACGAAAAUGGCAUAUAAUUCAACGUUCUAUGCUUCAUUAAUGCAUAAGAGUUGGUCGAAGCUUGAUCGAGUUUGCUUUUGGUUAUUUUGUGAACACCGUCAGGCUGUGUUCAAACAAUUUUCUGGUGGCAUAUAUGGGGGAUCGGAUAAUGUUGCCUCGGAUGAAAAUGAAUUUCAACAGCAUCAGAAACUCGAGAAGCUGUACAUAUCAACUCGUGCUGCCAAGGUUGCUACGCUUAUUUUUGUCUGUGCUUUAAACGAGCAUCACGUUAGUUGUGUUACCUAUCGUUUUUUUGCUUCAUCUUUAACAGCAUUACCAAAAGGAAAUUGUCCGCGGAGUGGAAGGUUACAUUGUGGCCGGUUCAAAGCACGUUGAAAUAGGUAUGUUGCUUGAAAUGCGUUGUCUUUUCUUUGGAGUUUGGAUAUGAAUUCAUGCUGGUUUUAUCAGUUGGUAUACAUAAUAUUUUUUCAACAGGUACCAAGCUAUCAGAAGAUAGCAGGAAAUAUGGUUCUGAAAAGACUUGCACCAGUGAUAACACAUUGUCGAGAGCUGCACUUAGUUUUGGAUGAGGUGGGGCCCAAAUGGAAAAAGAGUGCGGAGUUCUACUUAAAGCCCUUGGCACACAGGUUUAAGUCAAAUUAUUACUAACAGAGGCUAUUAAGUAAAAAUCAAAUAUUGCCAGGGCCGGCUUCAUACAAAUGGAAUUUCAACUGACUAAUUUUCGUGUGCAUUUGAUCAUUUCGAAAGAAAUUUACAGCAAAAAUUGUUUUCAUUUCCACGUCGUGGUUCAAGAAUUGGACUACUUUUUGUGUUUCUAUGCAUCGUAUGACAAACUGGCUCACCAUUUCUUUCUAUAGGUUUGCAUAAUAACUCUUUGUGUGCUUAUCAAUUUGCCUGUGUAGGUUGCAUAGCCUUUAUAGUGGGAGCGCCCAUGGAGGAUGCUCGACAUCUUGCUCAACGUUAUGCUAGAAUGCGGCAAGAAGCUGAAGCUCAGGUAUAUGCAGUUUCUUCUGUUUCCUACCAAUUUUAUUCUACAGUGAUUUUAUAUCCAAAACAAGCAUUGACUUGGCUGUCCAUCCAUCAAUAGCAGGUCCACAUCUCAACCCAAAUAUAAUGACGUCAAAGGAGAGGGGAAAAUGAGAAGGAAACUCUGGAGGGUAGAGGGAAGGAAAAGGGGAAAAGGAGAAAGGGAGAAGGGAAAAGUAGAACGGGAAGGAGGAAAAUGAGAGGAAAUUUCGGAGAAUAGAGAAAGGGAGAAGGGAAAAGAAGAAAAGCAGAAAAGAAGGGAAAAGGGGAAGGAAGCUUAGGAGGCUAGAGAAAAAGAUGGAAAUGCAUAAAAAUAAAAAAAUAAAAAAGGAAAGUCGCCUUCAUCAUUAUGUCUACUAACGGAAAGGAGCAACCACAUUGUAAAUUAUAUUUUGUAUAAUGAGAAACCAGUAUUCCUACCCUGAGGGUAUAGACACAACUUGCUGAAUCUCGUUACUAUACAGCAAGUUUAUAAUUGCACAAUAAUUCGAUCAAUCAUCUUAAGUUCAACCAUACAUGUAACAAGAUUUAAGUUUUUCCAAACUUUCCUUAUGAAGGUAACUGAACAUUACAAGUGUCACGUUAUUAUGCGAUUCUAUCAAGUUUUAAUUUUUGUCUCAUAACCACAUUACAAGUGCCACGUUAUUUAUUUUAUCCUUUAUUUUAUCUUUAUUAUUAAAACUUAAAAUUUUCAUAUUUUUUUAUUAAUUUUUUUUUAUAAAAUCACACGUAAAACAAGAAGUAAUCUUUUCUUUUUCUUUUCAUCUCUGCCACUAGCGGCCGACCAUGACUUAAAGAAACGCUUUUUGGAUGGGUCAAUGUAUGGGAACGACCCAUUUUAUAUGUUACAUGGUUGUGCAAUUAAAAGUGCAUUUUAUCAUAAAAAUGUGAGCAACGAUCAAUAUAAUUGUUAUUUAUAAAAUCACACAAAACACAAGAAGGAAUCUUUUCUUUUUCUUUUUCAUCUCUGCCACUACCAGCCGACCAUGACUUAAAAGAAACGCUUUUUGGUUCAAUGGAUGGGAACGACCUAUUUUAUAAUAAGAAAAAUUAAUUAAAAAAAUUUAAAAAUUUUAAGUUUUAAUAAUAAAAAGAUGUUGUAAAUAAAUAGUACAUAAUUGAUUUUUUUAGUAAAAGUAUAAUUUUUUAUUAAAAUUUCGUUCAAAUCCCCUUUAUAAUAUUGUUUGUAAAUUUUUCUGGAAGUAGAUGGAAAUGACCCAAUUACAUAUUUCCCCUGCUCACAGACAUUUUCAUUGCACCUAGAAAACCAGUUUUUUGUUAGAAAAUCGAUCCACAUCAAUGGCUCUUGUGAGAACAUCUCCAGGAACCUCCUCUGAUUCCAACACUUUUCGGAGUUAUCGCUACGACGUGUUCUUGAGCUUCAGAGGCGAAGAUACUCGCAAGACUUUUACCGACCACCUCUACACAGCCUUGAACAACGCAGGAUUUCUUACGUUCCGAGACGACGAUGAACUUGAGAGAGGAGAAGAUAUAAAGCCAGGACUGCAGAAAGCGAUCCAGCAGUCACGAACUUCUGUUGUCGUGUUUUCGAAAGAUUACGCUUCAUCCAGUUGGUGUCUUGAUGAGCUUGUGCUGAUCCUUGAACGCAAGAGGACCACCUCGGACCAUGUAGUUUUACCAGUCUUCUACGAUGUCGAUCCGUCCCACGUGAGGAAGCAGACAGGAAGUGUUGGAAAAGCAUUUGCUAGAAGCCAGAAAAAUCAGUCGCCGGAAAAGGUGCAGGGAUGGAGGAAGGCACUUGCAGAGAUUGCAGACCUAGCAGGCAUGGUCUUACAAAAUCAAGCUGAUGGGUAACUUUCAUUAUCUCCAUUUCUCAUCUUUCCUGGGUGAAUUUGAUGUAUGAUCCGUAAUGACCUAGAUUUUUAUAUGUUUAUUAAUUCAAUCUCAGUAGUGAAUAAUAAUCUCAAUUUAGGUCAACUUAAAGAAAUCACACUCAACUCAACUUAAGGAUUAGUCAUUUUCCAUGUUAAUCUACUGGUUUCCAGUUGCUUAAAUUUUUUUGAAAGCUGGUGUGGAAAAAGGUUAGGAUGUGAUCUGUCUAUAGUUCGUGUAAAUUAUGCGCUGUAUUCCUUUUUUUUUUCAAUUUAAUUUUGUCAGCAGUCCUCUUUUUUUUUUCUUAUUUAAAAAGGCAAUCAACAUAUGUUUUAAUUAUCUAAUUUCCCCAAUUCAUUUUUCAUUUUGUUUGCAAAUUCUUAGGUACGAGUCAAAGUUUAUCAAAAAAAUUGUUGAAGUGAUAGGAGACAAGUUAUGUCGUACGUCGUUGAGUGUUGAACCAAAAUUGAUUGGAAUUCAAUCUCAAGCCGAACGCAUCAAUUUGUGGUUACAAGAUGGAUCAAGUCAUGUUGGUAUAUUUGUUGUGUAUGGCAUGUCUGGAAUAGGGAAGACAACCAUUGCAAAACAUGUUUACAAUUCAAACUUUGGAAGCUUUCAAGGAAGUAGUUUCAUUGAAAAUAUCAAAGAAACAGCAGAUCGACCAAAUGGCUUAGUUCAAAUACAAAUGCAACUUCUUUGUGAUAUUUUGAACGGCAGAGAAGUGAAAAUACACAGUGUUAGUGAGGGAAUAAUUAAGAUUGAAAGGGCCAUAAGCACUAGAAGAGUUCUACUUGUUCUUGAUGAUGUUGACCAAAUGGACUAAUUCGAUGCAAUCCUAAGGAUGAAGGAUCAGUUUUAUCCUGGAAGUAAGAUACUAAUAACAACUAGGCGUGAAAGGCUGCUAAAGGCAGAUCAAGUUACAGAGGUGCACAGAGUUCAAACUUUGGAUUACAAUGAAUCAUUAAAGCUUUUCAGUUGGCAUGCUUUUGGCCAGGACCAUCCCAUAGAAGAAUACAUGGAGCACUCAAAACAGCUAGUGCAACAUAGCGACGGACUUCCAUUAGCUCUAAAAGUUUUGGGUUCUUCUUUAUCAGGGGAAAGUAUAGGUGUAUGGGAAAGUGCAUUGGAGAAGCUAAAAGUUAUUCCUGAUGGUGAAAUCAUAAACAAACUAAGAAUAAGCUAUGAAAGUUUAAAAGAUGACCAUGACCGGAAAUUAUUCCUCCACAUUGCUUGUUUCCUAAUAGGAAGGAACAAAACCUACAUUGUUAGAAUAUUCGAUGGAUGUGAUUUCUAUACAAUCAUUGGCAUUCAAAAUCUCAUUGAUAGAUGCUUGGUGACAUUUGAUGAACACGGCAAGGUGAAAAUGCAUGACAUGAUUCGUGCUAUGGGAAGAGAAAUUGUUCGCCAAGAAUCAGAAGAGCUUGAGGAACGUAGUAGAUUAUGGCGCCAUAAGGAUUCUUUCCAAGUAUUGAGGAAAAAGAAUGUAAGAAACAUGCCUUUUAUGUCUAUAUAUGUCUUUCUUCUUGUGAAAAUUAUGCAUAUUAAUGUCUUUUUUUUUUCCUUUAGGGUACAAAAAAAAUCCAAGGUCUUGUCCUGGAUAUGCGUAAUCAUUCUGCAAACAGUCCAAUAAACACAAAUGAGAUAGUCUUGGAAACCAAUGCAUUUGCAAGGAUGUGCAAUUUACAACUACUCCAUCUUAGUCAUGUACGACUGGAUGGAUGUUAUGCAGAUUUCCCUACAGGAUUAAGAUGGUUGUGUUGGCUUGAAUUUCCUUUGGAUUCUAUACCAAUUGAUUUUCCUUUGGAGAACGUAAUUGUUCUGGAAAUGCAAUACAGUAGCUUGAGACAAGUAUGCAAAGGAACAAAAGUAUGUUACUCUAUGCAUUUCAAUUCAUUUUCCUUAUUUUGUUAGUUUUUUAUUUGUUGACUAACUUCGUGUGUUAAAAUGAACUACUAUGUUUUCUUUAAUUCAAUGACUAAUUUCUUAUAUUAGAUACUUAUUUCAUUGUUAUUUUUUCUUCUUUUUUUUCCCUCUGUUUCCACAGUUUCUUCCAUCGUUGAAGAUCCUUGACGUCAGCCAUUCUCAUGGCCUUAGUGAAACCAUUGACUUCUCACUUUUCCCCAAUCUAGAGGAACUGAUUCUUGUAGAUUGCACAAGCCUGAAGAAUGUUCAUGAAUCCAUUGGAAGCUUGGAGAGACUCGUGUACUUGAAUAUAAAGGAUUGCAAGAAUCUUAGGAAGCUUCCGAAGAACAUGUGCAUGCUUAAGGCCCCGUUUGGGAUUGAGGUGAUUUUAAAAAAAGCCACUGUCAAAAAAAGCUGAGGAUCAUUUUUGUGUUUGGUAAACUGAAAAAAAAGGGCUUAUUUUGGAAGCUGCUGUGAGAAUAAGCUGAAAAUCAAAGAAAAAGCUGAAGCUGCUAUUUGCUGCUUUGAAAAAAAGCCAGUUUUUUCAAAGCACACGGAGCUACAGUGCUCCUUUAAUGAAAAGACACACUAUCAUCCUGCUUUUUUUUCCAAAAGCACUUUCACAAAAAAGUUUACCAAACACUCUACUGGCUUUAUUUCACAGCCGCUUAUUCUCACAGCACAGCUGCUUAUUCUUACAGCAGCUUUUUUUCAAAGCACAGCAAUACCAAACCAGCCCUAAAUCACUUGAACACUCAUUUUAUCUGGUUGCUCAAAUCUUGAUGAGUUUCCAAUGGAGAUGAUGAAGAUGGAGUCUCUGAAAGUUCUUGAGACAGAUGGACUUCCAAUAGGUAAAUUGUGGCCAGAAAGAAGUUCAACUAUCUUGAGUUCUUUUCCAUGCUCUUUAGUAGAGUUAAGUCUGAAGGGGUGCAAUCUUUCUGAUGAUGUCCUUCCUACGGAUUUAAGUAAUCUAUCCAAUUUGCAGUCUGCCAGUUUUCAUCAAAGGUUUGAGGAAGAUCGAUGAACUCUCUUUCAAGGGUUGUGAUAGGCUCGAAUCGCUUGUGGGGUUGCCGGAAGUACACCAAUGGCUAAGUAUAGCCGGAUGCAUAUCAUUAAAAAAAAUAACUUUUCAUUCCCCUGAGCAACCGUAUCUAGUACGUGGGGGUGACAACUCGAAUAACUGUAAUUGCUGUUACAAGUUACAGCCUUUUGAUAGAGUUGAUGUGAAAAUGAUCAAACUUAUGGGCUUGUGCAACUUUGAAUCCAUGCCAGCUGUUCAAAUGCGUAAUUCAUACACAUACAGGGAUCCAAAAGAGGUCCCCGUCCAGGUGCGCCUCUCUUUCUCUCUCUCAUAAGUCUUAAAUAUAUAAUGGGAAAGAAAUUACUGAGUAAUGUUGUGAUGACUGUGGCAAAUACAUAGGGACUGUAUCAAUUUGGUGUAUUCAGCACUUUUUUUGUUGGGAAUGAGGUUCCAGGCCGGUUCAGCUAUAAAAGUACGAAGUAUUCGAUAUCUUUUAUUGUCCCUUUACUACUUGCUAGUCACAGAAUUCGAGGCUUGAACAUCUUUGCUACCUAUGCAAAGGAAAAUUCAAAUAAUUAUUCUACUGGACCUAUUAUUGUUCCAAUAAUGAUCAAAGUGAGAAACAAGAGCAAGGGUUUGAAGUGGAUCUAUUGCCCAUUAUCCUAUGGAAUCCCAGGUGACGGAGAAGAUAUGAUAUGGUUGAGCCAUUGGAAGAUGGAGAAUAAUACAAUAUUACAAUGUGGAGAUGAAGUGGUGGUUUCGGUAAUAACCGGACCACGUGACUUGUUUUUGGUAAAGGAGUUUGGUGUCGAGCUUGUGCAAGAGCACCAAGACAAGAUGAGUACCCAACACAACACCAAAUCAGAUCCUAAUUAUCCAUUUGUUAUCGGUGGAGAUUUGAAGACGUGGAAGUGCAAACCAGGAAUAUACUUCCUUAGCUGUAGGAGACGAGAAGAUACUGACGACAUUGAUAUCCUCACCAUGGACUCUGAUGAAGAAGACACAAGUAUGUUGUGUUGUUGUAUAGCAUUGAAUUAUACUCCAUCCAAACACUUCCGGGUGUGUCCGUAUUCAUUUCAAAAACAUUUCCAAUAAAUUUUAUGUUAUUUGUAUGUUUUUCAGACAAAGAAGGGCAAGAGGAUGAACCUGAUUACACAAUUGCAAAGACGAUGGCAGCUAGCAAUAACUGCAGCCUAAGAGGAUGGAAGGUGCGCCUCACAGCUGUCGGCUUCUUUUUCGCGCUUGCUCUAGUUGGUUGGUCCUCCAUCUCGCAAAAAAAGAAGCGACACUCGUCCACAAGCCCACCAUGAGUUUGUAAUUUGACUUGAUAUAGAUAUAUCUUUGCAUUCCUUGCUCUCAAGAUGUUUUCUACCUUCGAAACUUCAAGUUUAGAGCUAAGCACUUUAACCGCUUGAGAUAUAAAAGCCCCUUGCAACUAGAUACCGAAGUUCAAAUGUGUUCAACGCCAUCAAAUAUAGCAUAAAAUACAUCCAGCAUUAGCGAUACUAGCAUAGUAGCAGUAAAUAAGUAAAACCAAAAAAUGCUUCCACACAUGGUAAGGGAAGGACUUUACAUAGGAAUCUUUAGCAAUAACGGGCAAGAUUUUUUUGUUUUUGGGAGGAGGUGGAUUAUUUCGGCACCGGGGAAAACAAAAACAUCCCAUCUUAGUUGUCGUUUACAACAAAAUCAUUCUUAAAGACUCGGCUCCCCAUUGAAAUUGUGUAAAUUGCAUAAAUAUCAAUACAACAGAUAUUAAAUAGAAUAAUAUAUAUCAAAUAAAUUAACGACAAGCAAUUUCUUAGCCUGAGAUCCAAGGACUUUACAGCUGGUUCAGCCUUGCAUUCGCUACUACAUUACAGAAGCUGGUUUCUGCUUCUUCAACCUGAACAAAUUAUUGAGGUCAGGAAGUAUAAGAGGAACGACCAUAGUCUCUGGAGCCAUGAAAUUUACUAUCUUCUUUUGGGCAUUGUACCUGCAAAAGCAUAAUGCAAUAAGCAUUCAACAAUCUGACCUAGUUUUCUCAACAGAUACUCCAAGAUAUUCCAAAACAAAGUCACAGCAAUUUCACAUAGGGAACCGAAGAAUCAUGUUCGUCCACUCUACACAUCCAAAGCAGCAAACUAACAAUUUCACAUAGGAUACCAGGUUGGGAGGAUACAAUCAUUAACAAUUUCAAAAGCUUUAAAUGCAAUCUGAAUACAUGGCAAGUAGGGGUAAACAUGUGAACAGAAAAAAUCAGUGAACAUAAUCAAAUCCAAUACGUCAAUUUUGGCCUAGAUUGAAAUGAAAAAAAAACAAGGAAAUGCUUUGUUGUUUUUGAAGGAAAUAAAACCUAUUUCAUGGAAAUAAAACCUGUGGUUACCUUUGUCUUCCUUUGCCAUUUGUCUAUCGAUUUGUUUCUGAAAGUGGCUAUUCUACAAGAUACAGCAUGACAGGUCCUAGUUAGACCAAGCAACCGGCAUGGAAAUGCUUUCUGAAGCAAGAAUCUGAACUCAAGAGCUUUGUGCCAGAGAGACUUCAGAAAAAUGAAAAAAAACAACAUAGAAUAUGGGUAAGAAUAAACAUCGAUCAAACAAUAAUUCACUGUAUAAAACAUUUUUUCAACUUUAAAGUGUGGCUUAAAAAGAAGCUUUAAACAAGUAGCAAUAAUUUCAUAUUGAAAAAUAAAACCUGGAUAUUACAAGAGCCAUUAUUUUGAAAGACACACCUUUUGGUUCUUCACUACUUGACUUUUAAGAAGAUCUUCGUCCUUGUCACGAUUCAGAUUCUUUAAAAUAUCUCUGCGAUGGAAUAAACAAAACCAAUCUAGGCCAAAAUUGACUUAUUCGAUUUGAUUAUGUUCACUGAUUUUUCUAUUCACAUGUUUACCCCUUACUUGCCAUAUGGUUUUGGGGUGUUAGUGCAUAGUGCUCUUCUCUUUACACACCUGUUUCAUUUGUAUUCGUUGUAAAUUAAGAGACCGUUUGAUAAUCAUUUCGUUUUCAAUUUAAAAAAUAUAAAAAACUAAAUAAAGUUUUCUAAAUUUGACCUAGAAUUUUUCGCUUUUGGUUUUUAAUUUUUUUUUUUAACAACUGAAAACUAAAAAUAGUUACAAAUUUUUUUUUCAGUUUUUAAUUUACAAAAAAGUAAAAACUGAAAACUCUAAACUAUAGACUAAAAAUUAAAAAGUGAAAUCGAAAUGGGCUCUCAACAAAAUUGAAAAAAGACUGGGCUGAAUUACUGAAUUCAAAGCAGGGCUUAUUAACGCUACGAGGCCCAAUGGAUCUGUAUAAAUAUUUUUUGUUUUUUUUUAACAAACGAUAUUAUCUAUAUGGGCUUAACCUUACAAUAGGCUAACAAUAAUGUGGUUCAAAUUUAUUUUUGACGAGAAUCGAACCUAAAACUUCUCGCUUACAAAUGAAGAGGAAUACCACUAAAUCAUAGUCCUGAUAUUUUAUUUAAUAUUUUAAGAAAAAAGAAAGAAAGCAAUGAAAAGCUGUACAUAAACUAAAUACAAAAAGGAAUGAAAUGAAGAAGAGUGGGAGACUAACGUUUAAUUCAAGAUAAAGAAAGAAAGGUAAUCGCACCCCGACGGCGGCGACGUGGCGGUCAUUUAACGGAAAAUAACAGACAAAUCAGCCUCCAGAUCAAGUCUUGAAGCACAACUCUGAAAAAUCGACACUACCUACAGCUGAGCUCCGACCAACCGUUGAUGGAUGCAAUCCGGAAGCUCAGAGAUCAAGUCGCCAAGCAACAGCAGGUACUCUCUCUCUUGUUUGAUUCCGAAUUUGUAUUUCUGUAUGGAUUAUGAUAUGAACAUAAUCUGCGUUGAUUGCGAGAUACUAAGAUUGCUUAAUGAAAUAAUAUUUAUAUAAUUGUUCAAAUUGAAUUGGAUCGAAUUCGAAUAGAUUUUUCACUAUUUCUGAGCUGUUUGGGGCUGUGUUGGAGUGUAUUGUUGCUGAAUUUCUGAAAUUUUGAAUCUAGCAAACACCAGUUCUUUUUGUUUGAACAUCGAUCCACAUCAAUGGCUCUUGUGAGAACAUCUCCAGGAACCUCCUCUGAUUCCAACACUUUUCGGAGUUAUCGCUACGACGUGUUCUUGAGCUUCAGAGGCGAAGAUACUCGCAAGACUUUUACCGACCACCUCUACACAGCCUUGAACAACGCAGGAUUUCUUACGUUCCGAGACGACGAUGAACUUGAGAGAGGGGAAGAUAUAAAGCCAGGACUGCAGAAAGCGAUCCAGCAGUCACGAACUUCUGUUGUCGUGUUUUCGAAAGAUUACGCUUCAUCCAAGUGGUGUCUUGAUGAGCUUGUGCUGAUCCUUGAACGCAAGAGGACCACCUCGGACCAUGUAGUUUUACCAGUCUUCUACGAUGUCGAUCCGUCCCACGUGAGGAAGCAGACAGGAAGUGUUGGAAAAGCAUUUGCUAGAAGCCAGAAAAAUCAGUCGCCGGAAAAGGUGGAGGGAUGGAGGAAGGCACUUGCAGAGAUUGCAGACCUAGCAGGCAUGGUCUUACAAAAUCAAGCUGAUGGGUAACCUUCAUUAUCUCCAUUUCUCUUCUCUUUGUUGGGUCAAUUUGAUGUAUGAUCCGUAGUGACAUAGAUUUUUAUAUAUUUAUUAAUUCAAUCUCAGUAGUGAAUAAUAAUCCCAAUUCAGGUCAACUUAAAGAAAGCACACUCAACUCAACUUAAGGAUUAGUCAUUUUCCAUGUUAAUCUACUGGUUUCCAGUUGCUUAAAUUUUUUUUGAAAGCUGGUGUGGAAAAAAGUUAGGAUGUGAUCUGUUUUGUAUUUGUCUAUAGUUUGUAUAGAUUAUGCGCUGUAUUCCUUUUUUUUUCAAUUUAAUUUUGUCAGGCAAUCAACAUAUGUUUUAAUUAUCUAAUUUCCCCAAUUCAUUUUUCAUUUUGUUUGCAAAUUCUUAGGUACGAGGCAAAGUUUAUCGAAAAAAUUGUUAAAGUGAUAGAAGACAAGUUAAGUCGUAUGCCAUUGAGUGUUGAACCAAAAUUGAUUGGUAUUCAAUAUCAAGCCGAACGCAUCAAUUUGUGGUUACAAGAUGGAUCAAGUGGUGUUGGUAUAUUUGUUGUGUAUGGCAUGUCUGGAAUCGGGAAGACAACCAUUGCAAAACAUGUUUACAAUUCAAACUUUAGAAGCUUUCAAGGAAGUAGUUUCAUUGAAAAUAUCAAAGAAACAGCAGAUCGACCAAAUGGCUUAGUUCAAAUACAAAUGCAACUUCUUUGUGAUAUUUUGAACGGCAGAGAAGUGAAAAUACACAGUGUUAGUGAGGGAAUAAUUAAGAUUGAAAGGGCCAUAAGCUCUAGAAGAGUUCUACUUGUUCUUGAUGAUGUUGACCAUAUGGACCAAUUAGAUGCAAUCCUAAGGAUGAAAGAUCAGUUUUAUCCGGGAAGUAAGAUACUAAUAACAACUAGGCGUGAAAGGUUGCUAAAGGCAGAUCAAGUUACAGAGGUGCACAGAGUUCGGACUUUGUAUUACAAUGAAUCAUUAAAGCUUUUCAGUUGGCAUGCUUUUGGCCAGGACCAUCCCAUAGAAGAAUACAUGGAGCACUCAAAACAGCUUGUGCAACAUAGCGACGGACUUCCAUUAGCUCUAAAAGUUUUGGGUUCUUCUUUAUCAGGGGAAAGUAUAGGUGUAUGGGAAAGUGCAUUGGAGAAGCUAAAAGUUAUUCCUGAUGGUGAAAUCAUGAAUAAACUAAGAAUAAGCUAUGAAAGUUUAAAAGAUGACCAUGAUCGGAAAUUAUUCCUCCACAUUGCUUGUUUCCUAAUAGGAAGGAACAAAAGCUACAUUGUUAGAAUACUCGAUGGAUGUGAUUUCUAUACAAUCAUUGGCAUUCAAACUCUCAUUGAUAGAUGCUUGGUGACACUUGAUGAACACGGCAAGGUGAAAAUGCAUGACAUGAUUCGUGCUAUGGGAAGAGAAAUUGUUCGCCAAGAAUCAGAAGAGCUUGAGGAACGGAGUAGAUUAUGGCGCCAUAAGGAUUCUUUCCAAGUAUUGAGGAAAAAGAAUGUAAGAAACAUGCCUUUUAUGUCUAUAUAUGUAUUCCUUCUUGUGAAAAUUAUGCAUAUUAAUGUCUUUUUUUUUCCUUUAGGGUACAAAAAAAAUCCAAGGUCUUGUCCUGGAUAUGCGUAAUCAUCCUGCAAACAGUCCAAUAAACACAAAUGAGAUAGUCUUGGAAACCAAUGCAUUUGCAAGGAUGUGUAAUUUACAACUACUCCAUCUUAGUCAUGUACGACUGGAUGGAUGUUAUGCAGAUUUCCCUACAGGAUUAAGAUGGGUGUGUUGGCUUGAAUAUCCUUUGGAUUCUAUACCAAUUGAUUUUCCUUUGGAGAACGUAAUUGUUCUUGAAAUGCAAUACAGUAGCUUGAGACAAGUAUGCAAAGGAACAAAAGUAUGUUACUCUAUGCAUUUCAAUUCAUUUUCCUUAUUGUGUUAGUUUCUUAUUUGUUGACUAACUCCAUGUGUUAAAAUGAACUACUAUGUUUUCUUUAAUUCGAUGACUAAUUUCUUAUGUUAGAUACUUAUUUCAUUGUUCUUUUUUCUUUUCUUUUUUUCCCUCUGUUUCCACAGUUUCUUCCAUCGUUGAAGAUCCUUGACGUCAGCCAUUCUCAUGGCCUUAGUGAAACCAUUGACUUCUCACUUUUCCCCAAUCUAGAGGAACUGAUUCUUGUAGAUUGCACAAGCCUGAAGAAUGUUCAUGAAUCCAUUGGAAACCUAGAGCGACUCGUGUACUUGAAUAUGAAGGAUUGCAAGAAUCUUAGGAAGCUUCCGAAGAACAUGUGCAUGCUUAAAUCACUUGAAACGCUCAUUUUAUCUGGUUGCUCAAAUCUUGAUGAGUUUCCCUUGGAGAUGAUGAAGAAGAUGGAGUCUCUGAAAGUUCUUGAGACAGAUGGAAUUCCAAUAAGUGAAUUGUGGCCAGAAAGAAGUUCAACUAUCUUGAGUUCUUUUCCACGCUCUUUAGUAGAGUUAAGUCUGAAGGGAUGCAAUCUUUCUGAUGAUGUCUUUCCUACGGAUUUAAGUAAUUUAUCCUACUUGCGAGGACUACAUUUAGAUGAGAAUCCAAUUUGCAGUCUGCCAGUUUUCAUCAAAGGUUUGAGGAGGAUCGAUAAACUCUCUUUCAAGGGUUGUGAUAGGCUUGAAUCGCUUGUGGGGUUGCCGGAAGUACACCAAAUAAUGAGUAUAGUCAGAUGCAUAUCAUUAAAAAAAUAACUUUUCAUUCCCCUGGGCAACAUCAUCUAUCACGUGUAAUUUACAAUGACAACCGGAAUCUUGUUGAGGCGGAGUGUUUUUACAAGUUAGAGCCUAUUGAUAGAGUUGAUGUGGAAAUGAUCAAACUUUUGGGCUUGUGCAACUUGGAAUCCAUGCCAGCUGUUCGAAUGCAUCAUCCACUCACAAACUGGGAUCUAAUAGACGUCCCCGUCCAGGUGCGCCUCUUUUUCUCUCUCUCUCAUAAGUCUUAAAUAUAUAAUGGGAAAGAAAUGACUGAGUAAUGUUGUGAUGACUGUGGCAAAUACAUAGGGACUGUAUCAACAUGGUAUAUUCAGCACCUUUUUUGUUAGGAAUGAGGUUCCAGGCCUGUUCAGCUAUAAAAGUACCAAGUCCUCGAUAUCUUUUAUUGUCCCUUUACUACUUGCUAGUCACAGAAUUCGAGGCUUAAACAUCUUUGCUACCUAUGCAAAGGAAAAUUCAAAUAAUUAUUCUACUGGACCUAUUAUUGCUCCAAUAAUGAUCAAAGUGAGAAACAAGAGUAAGGGUCUGAAGUUGAUCUAUGACCCUGAGUUCUACGGAAUUCCAGGUGACGGAGAAAAUAUGAUAUGGUUGAGCCAUUGGAUGAUGGAGAAUAAAACAAUAUUACAAUGUGGAGAUGAAGUGGUGGUUUCGGUAAUAACCGGACCACGUGACAUGUUUUGGGUAAAGGAGUUUGGUGUCGACCUUGUGCAAGAGCACCAAGACAAGAUGAGUACCCAACACAACACCAAAUCCGAUCCUAAUUAUCCAUUUGUUAUCGGUGGAGAUUUGAAGAUGUUUGAGCGCAGACCGGGAAUAUACUUCCUUGGCAAUUAUGCAAGAAAAGAUAUUGAUGACAUUGAUAUCCUCACCAUGGCCUCUGAUGAAGAAGACACAAGUAUGUUGUGUUGUUGUAUAGCAUUGAAUUAUACUCCAUCCAAACACUUCCAUGUGUGGUCCGUAUUCAUUUCAAAAAUGUUUCCAAUAAAUGUUAUGUUAUUUGUAUGUUUUUCAGACAAAGAAAGACAAGAGGAUGAACCUGAUUACACAAUUGCAAAGACGAGGGCUGCUAGCAAUAACUGCAGCUUGAGAGGCUGGAAGGUGCGCCUCACAGCUGUCGGCUUCUUUUUUUCGCUUGCUCUAGUAGGUUGGUCCUCCAUCUCCCAAAAAAAGAAGCGACACUCGUCCACAAGCCCACCAUGAGUUUGUAAUUUGACUUGAUAUAGAUAUAUCUUUGCAUUCCUCUCAGGAUGUUUUCUAUCUUCAAAACUUCAAGUUCGCUAAGCACGCUUAACCGCUUGAGAUAUAAAAGCCCCUUGCAACUAGAUACCAAAGUUAAAAUGUGUUCAAAACAUCAAAUAUAGCAUAAAAUACAUCCAGCAUUAGUUAUACUAGCAGAGUAGCAAUAAAUAAGUAAAACAAAAAAAUGCUUCCACACACGGUAAGGGAUGGACUUUGACAUAGGUAUCUUUAGAGCAAUUCCACCCCUAAGGACUUUGCGUCCGCACCUAGCGCAUUUAUCCACUCAAAUGAACAGUAACAGACUCUAAUGAACAGUAAUAGGCCAAGCAUCUCCACCCCUAAAAAAAUGCGCUGGCACCUAGUAAAAAAAUGCGUUGGCACAAACGAUCUUCAUCCCUACAAAAUGCGCUGGCACCCAGCCCAUUUAAAAUAUUUUUAAAUGUUGUCUAAAAGAAUAAAAAAAUAAAAUAGUUUUAAUUUCGGAUAGGAUUUUUAACUAAUCUCGUCACACCACAUGUCAUUAUCUGAACGUACUAUUUUGUGAAUAGAUUUCCGCUAAGAUUUUCUGUAUUUUUUAAUAAUUUUUAAUGAAUUUUAAUAUAGUUAAUUAAUCUGGACCGUUAGAUUUGAAAAAAUAUUCAAAUCCAAGAGACAGGGAGUUGCCACGUGGCCAACAGUCAUAUUUCUGACCGUUGGGCCUUUUUUUUUUUUUUUUACUUUUUUGUAAAAAAAACGUGGACCGUUGAUCUUUGAUCCGACAGUCUAUUUUAAAAGUAAAAUUUAAAUUUUUUUACCGUUGGAAAUCCAACGGUCUAGAAAAGGGAGCCACGUCGCCAACUCGAGGGGGGGGGGGAAACUGAGUGCGCCACGCGGGCCCGCCUUCUGAAAUCUUGUCGGGCACUCGCGCCAGCACCUCCAUGAAGCGCACGCGCAAGGCAAACUGCCCAGCUUCUUGCUCAGUCUCGUUUGGGCUGGGUACCAGUCAAGUUGAAGGGGUGGACUUGGUUGACAGGGUGCUGGCCUUGUUUUUGUGCUGGAUCCUGGGCAAAUUCCACUGGGGUGGAAUUGCUCUUAGCAAUAACGGGCAAGAUUUUUUUUAGGGAGGGGGAAGGGAUUAUUUUGGCAUCGGGGAAAACAAAAACAUCCUAUCUGCUUAUGAAUGACAAAUUUACAAAUCUUAAUUGUCGUUUACAACAAAAUCAUUCUUAAAGACUCGGCUCCCCAUUGAAAUUGUGUAAAUUGCAUAUAUAACAAUACAACAGAUAUUAGAUAGAAUAAUAUAUAUCAAAUAAUUUAACGAUAGGACUUUACAGUUGGUUCAGCCUUGCAUUGCUACUACGCUACAGAAGCUGGUUUCUGCUUCUUCCACCUGAACAAAUUAUUGAGGUCAGGAAGUAUAGGAGGAACGGCCAUAGUCUCUGGAGCCAAGAAAUUUACUAUCUUCUCAUGAACAUUGUACCUGCAAAAGCAUAAUGCAAUAAGCAUUCAACAAUCUGACCUAGUUUGCUCAACAGAUGCUCUAAGAUAUUCCAAAACAAAGUCACAACAAUUUCACAUAGGGAACCGAAGAAUCAUGUUCAUCCACUCAACACAUCCAAAGCAGCAAACUAACUAGGAUACCAGGUUGGGAGGAUACAAUCAUUAACAAUUUCAAAAGCUUUAAACGCAAUCUGAAUAUAUGGCAAGUAGGGGUAAACAUGUGAACAGAAAAGUCAAAGAACAUAAUCAAAUCGAAUAAGUCAAUUUUGGCCUAGAUUGAAAUGAAAAAAAAAACAAGGAAAUGCUUUGUGUAUCGAUUUGUUUAUGAAGGAAAUAAAUGCUUUGUGUAUCCAUUCGUCUAUCAAUUUGUUUCUGAAAGUGGCUAUUCUACAAGAUACAGCAUGACAGGUCUUAGUUGGACCAAGUAACCGGCAUGGAAAUGCUUUCUGAAGCAAGAAUCUGAACUCAAGAGUUUUGUGCCAGAGAGACUUCAGAAAAAUGAAAAAAACAACAUAGAAUAUGGGUAAGAAUAAACAUCGAUUAGACAAUAAUUCACUGUAUAAAUAAUUUUUUCAACUUUAAAGUGUGGCUUAAAAAGAAGCUUUAAACAAGUAGCAAUAAUUUCAUAUUGAAAAAUAAAACCUAUUUCAUGGAUAUUACAAGAGCCAUUAUUUUGAAAAACACACCUUUUGGUUCUUCACUGCUUGACUUUUAAGAAGUUCUUUGUUCUUGUGACAAUUCAGAUUCUUUAAAAUAUCUCUGCAACGGAAUAAACAAAACCAAUCUAGGCAAAAAUUGACUUGUUCGAUUUGAUUAUGUUCACUGAUUUUUCUGUUCACAUGUUUACCCCUACUUGCCAUAUAGUUUUAGUUUUGGGGUGUUAGCGCAUAGUGCUCUUCUCUUUACACACCAGUUUCAAUUUUAUUCUUCGUAAAUUAAGAGACCGUUUGAUAAUCAUUUCGUUUUCAAUUUUAAAAAAUAUAAAAAACUAAAUAAAGUUUUCAAAAUUUGACCUAGAAUUUUCGCUUUUGGUUUUCAAUUUUAAUUUUUUUUUAAACAACUGAAAACUAAAAAUAGUUACAAAAAGAAUUUUUCAGUUUUUAAUUUACAAAAAAGUAAAAACUGAAAACUCUAUACUAUAGACUAAAAAUUAAAAAGUGAAAUCGAAAUGGGCUCUCAACAAAAUUGAAAAAAGACUGGGCUGAAUUACUGAAUUCAAAGCAGGGCUUAUUAACGUUACGAGGCCCAAUGGAUAUGUAUAAAUAUUUUUCGUUUUUUGUUUAACAAACGAUAUUAUUUAUAUGGGCUUAAUGUUACAGUGAGCUAACAAUAAUGUGGUUCAAAUUUGCUUUUCGUAAGAAUCGAAUCUAAAACUUCUCACUUAGAGAAAUACCUCUAAACCGUAAUCUGAGUGGCUCGUUAUUUUAUUUUAUAUUUUAAGAAAAAAGAAAGAAAGCAAUGAAAAGCUGUACAUAAAAUAAAUACAAAAAGCUAAGAAAUGAAGAAGAGUGGGAGACUAACGUUUAAUUCAAGAUAAAGAAAGAAAGGUAAUCGCAAGACGACGGCGGCGACGUGGCGGUCAUUAAACGGAAAAUAACAGACAAAUCAGCCUCCAGAUCAAGUCUUGAAGCACAACUCUGAAAAAUCGAGACUACCUACAGCUGAGCUCCGACCAACCGUUGAUGGAUGCAAUCCGGAAGCUCAGAGAUCAGGUCGCCAAGCAACAGCAGGUACUCCCUCUCGUUUGAUUCCGAAUUUGUAUUUCUGUAUGGAUUUUGAUAUGAACAUAAUCUGCGUUGAUUGCGAGAUACUGAGAUUGCUUAAUGAAAUAAUAUUUAUAUAAUUGUUCGAGUUGAAUUGGAUCGAUUCGAAUUCAAAUAGAAUUUCACUAUUUCUGAGCUGUUUGGGGAUGUGUUGGAGUGCAAUGUUGAUGAAUUUCUGAAAUUUUGAGCUAGGUGUUGCUAAUUACUUAUCAAUUUUUGAUGUAAUUGGAUGCUUAAUUUUUACAUUUUCGGAAAACUUCAAGCGAAAAUGGCAUAUAAUUCAACGUUCCAUGCUUCAUUAAUGCAUAUGAGUUAGUCGAAGCUUCAUCGAGUUUGCUUUUGAUUAUUUUGUGAACACCGUCAGGCCGUGUUCAAACAAUUUUCUGGUGGCAUAUAUGGGGGAUCGGAUAAUGUUGCCUCGGAUGAAAAUGAAUUUCAACAGCAUCAGAAACUCGAGAAGCUGUACAUAUCAACUCGUGCUGCCAAGGUUGCUACGCUUAUUUUUGUCUGUGCUUUAAACGAGCAUCACGUUAGUUGUGUUACCUAUCGUUUUUUGCUUCUUCUUUAACAGCAUUACCAAAAGGAAAUUGUCCGCGGAGUGGAAGGUUACAUUGUGGCCGGUUCAAAGCACGUUGAAAUAGGUAUGUUGCUUGAAAUGCGUUGUCUUUUCUUGGGAGUUUGGAUAUGAAUUCGUGUUGGUUUUAUCAGCUGGUAUACAUAAUACUUUUUCAACAGGUACGAAGCUAUCAGAAGAUAGCAGGAAAUAUGGUUCUGAAAAGACUUGCACCAGUGGUAACACAUUGUCGAGAGCUGCACUGAGUUUUGGAAGAGCUCGGGCCCAAAUGGAAAAAGAGUGCGGAGUUCUACUUAAAGCCCUUGGCACACAGGUUUAAGUCAAAUUAUUACUAACAAUGGCUCAUUAAGUAAAAAUCAAAUAUUGCCAGGGCCAGUUUCAUACAAAUGGAAUUUCAACUGACUAAUUUUCGUGUGCAUUUGAUCAUUUCGAAAGAAAUUUACAGCAAAAAUUGUUUUCAUUUCCACGUCGUGGUUCAAGAAUUGGACUACUUUUUGUGUUUCUAUGCAUCGUAUGACAAACUGGCUCACCAUUUCUUUCUAUAGGUUUGCAUAAUAACUCUUUGUGUGCUUAUCAAUUUGCCUGUGUAGGUUGCAUAGCCUUUAUAGUGGGAGCGCCCAUGGAGGAUGCUCGACAUCUUGCUCAACGUUAUGCUAGAAUGCGGCAAGAAGCUGAAGCUCAGGUAUAUGCAGUUUCUUCUGUUUCCUACCAAUUUUAUUCUACAGUGAUUUUAUAUCCAAAACAAGCAUUGACUUGGCUGUCCAUCCAUCAAUAGCAGGUCCACAUCUCAACCCAAAUAUAAUGACGUCAAAGGAGAGGGGAAAAUGAGAAGGAAACUCUGGAGGGUAGAGGGAAGGAAAAGGAGAAAAGGAGAAAGGGAGAAGGGAAAAGUAGAACGGGAAGGAGGAAAAUGAGAGGAAAUUUCGGAGAAUAGAGAAAAGGAGAAGGGAAAAGAAGAAAAGCAGAAAAGAAGGGAAAAGGGGAAGGAAGCUUAGGAGGCUAGAGAAAAAGAGGGAAAUGCAUAAAAAUAAAAAAAUAAAAAAGGAAAGUCGCCUUCAUCAUUAUGUCUACUAACGGAAAGGAGCAACCACAUUGUAAAUUAUACUAAAAAUAUGACUUUAACCCCUCAAACUCAAUUUCUUUCAUAUAAAACCCGACAUAACAUUUUUACUCGAAUAAAACCCAAUGACUAGACUUCACAUAAGCAAAUUCAUUAAUUAUGACAUUUUAAAAAUUUCUAAUGCCUAAAAUACCCCUGUUUGCAUGUUUAAUGUGCACAAUUAAACAUAUGCAGAUUUUAAGGAGGAUUAAUGAUUUUACAAAAAUAAAAUAAUAAAAAAGGCACAAAUAUUCUAAAUGCAUUGCAUGUUAUAUGAAUUUGGUUGAUUCAUGUUUCUCUCACUUCAUAAAAUUUGCUUCUAAUUUGAUAUAGGAAUUAAUUUGGAAAGUUUUCUUAAUCUUAAUAACAAUUUUCAAUUUAAAUAUAUUUUUUAAUGAAAUAGUCUAUCUUUUAAAAUAAUUAUCAAUAAAAUAAUGAAAUAGUCUAUCUUUUCAAUUUAAAUAAUGUACCUGUUAUUUAAUUUUUACAACACUAAUGUAUCUUAAAAAAUAAUUUACUUAUUGUUUAGUUUUAGCAAAAAUAAUUUACCUACUGUGUAUAAUUGGUGAAGCUAAUGAUGUACAUAUUGUUUAAUUUUUUAAAAAUUAAUGUAUGUACAAAAAUAAUUUAUCUAUUGUUCAAAUUUUAGGAUAAAAAUUUACAUGUUUUUAUUUAACAAUAAUGUAUCUACAAUUUAUUUUUGUAUGAAUAUAAUUUACCUACUUUUUAAUUUUAUAUGAAACUAAUUUACCUACUGUGUCAGUAAUGUAUCUACAAUUUUACAUACAAUAUUUACCUUCUUUUUUUUUUUCACAACAAUAGUGUAUCUACAAUUUUGUUUUUGUAUGAAUAUAGUUUACCUACAAUUUAACUUUUCAAAAAAUGUAUCUUCUAUUUUAUAGUUUACUAUCAUAUAUAUGUUUAUGUGUUCGCAAAAUAAUUUAUCUAAAGUUAUAUAGUUAAGAGAUAUGCUAAUGAAUUAUAUUAAUUCAUUAUUAGACUGAUAUAAGAAAUUGUUAAAAACGUUAGCCAUAAUGGUUGGCUAAUAAUGGUUGUAUGAGAACAGUUAUAGAAAGUUGUGGCAUAAAUUGUAAAUAACUUAUAUUAAUAGGUUACUUAUUUUCUUAUUUGGUAAUUUAUUUAAAUUUUGGGUUUUGAUUGAAUGUUUAUUCAUAGGUGGGUUUUUAUCUGAAGUAUAUGAGUUGUAUGGGUCUAUAUCUAAACAACCCUAAAUUAUAUUUUGUAUAAUGAGAAACCAGUAUUCCUACCCCGAGGGUAUAGACACAACUUACUAAAUCUCGUUACUAUACAGCAAGCUUAUAAUUGCGCAAUAAUUCGAUCAACCAUCUUAAGUUCAACCAUUCAUGUAACAAGAUUCAAGUUUUCUAAACUUUCCUUAUUAAGGUAACUGAACAUUACAAGUGCCACGUUAUUAUGCGGUUCUAUCAAGUUUUAAUUUUUGUCUCAUAACCACAUCAUCUUUAGGACAAUCAUCUUGUAGUUGAAUAUAUAAACCUUCGAUAUGGCGAUAUUGGAAACGCUUGUUGGUGGGUUGAUUGGUAGAAAUGGUUCCAACAAUUCAAGGAUGAGAAAUGAGCAUUGAGCAACGAACAAAAUAUAUUGUAUUUUAUCACAAAAGAUGUUUGUGCAAUUAAAAGUGCAUUUUAUCACAAAGAGGUGAGCAACGAUCAAUAUAAUUGUUAUUUAUAAAAGGGAACAUUAACAAAAGUUUCCGGUACUGUUUAUUUUAAUAAAAAAUUACAUUUUUACAUUAAAAGUCAAUACUGAUACUAUUUAUUUUACCCUUUAUUUUAUCUUUAUUAUUAAAACUCAAAAUUUUUAAAUUUCUUUUAUUAAUUUUUUUUUUAUAAAAUCACACGUAAAACAAGAAGUAAUCUUUUCUUUUUCUUUUCGUCUCUGCCACAAGCGGCCGACCAUGACUUAAACAAACGCUUUUUGGGUGGGUCAAGGUAUGGGAACGACCCAUUUUAUAUGUUACAUGGUUGUGCAAUUAAAAGUGCAUUGUAUCAUAAAAAGGUGAGCAACGAUCACUAUAAUUGUUAUUUAUAAAAUCACACAAAACACAAGAAGGAAUCUUUUCUUUUUCUUUUUCAUCUCUGCCACUACCAGCCAUGACUUAAAAGAAACGUUUUUUGGUUCAAUGGAUGGGAACGGCCCAUUUUAUAAUAAGGAAAAUUAAUAAAAAAAAAUUUUAAAUUUAAAUUUUAACGAAAAUAAUAAAAAGAUGUUGUAAGUGAAUAAUACAUGAUUGAUUUUUUUGAAUAAAAAAAUAUAUAUUGUUUUAAAUAAACAGUAUUAGGAGUGUUUGGUUCAAAUCCCUUUAUAAUAUUGUUCGUAAAUUUUUCUGGAAGUAGAUGGAAAUGACCCAAUUACAUAUUUCCCCUGCUCACAGACAUUUUCAUUGCACCUAGAAAACCAGUUUUUUGUUAGAAAAUCGAUCCACAUCAAUGGCUCUUGUGAGAACAUCUCCAGGAACCUCCUCUGAUUCCAACACUUUUCGGAGUUAUCGCUACAACGUGUUCUUGAGCUUCAGAGGCGAAGAUACUCGCAAGACUUUUACCGACCACCUCUACACAGCCUUGAACAACGCAGGAUUUCUUACGUUCCGAGACGACGAUGAACUUGAGAGAGGAGAAGAUAUAAAGCCAGGACUGCAGAAAGCGAUCCAGCAGUCACGAACUUCUGUUGUCGUGUUUUCGAAAGAUUACGCUUCAUCCAGGUGGUGUCUUGAUGAGCUUGUGCUGAUCCUUGAACGCAAGAGGACCACCUCGGACCAUGUAGUUUUACCAGUCUUCUACGAUGUCGAUCCGUCCCACGUGAGGAAGCAGACAGGAAGUGUUGGAAAAGCAUUUGCUAGAAGCCAGAAAAAUCAGUCGUCGGAAAAGGUGGAGGGAUGGAGGAAGGCACUUGCAGAGAUUGCAGACCUAGCAGGCAUGGUCUUACAAAAUCAAGCUGAUGGGUAACUUUCAUUAUCUCCAUUUCUCUUCUCUUUCUUGGGUCAAUUUGAUGUAUGAUCCGUGGUGACCUAGAUUUUUAUAUGUUUAUUAAUUCAAUCUCAGUAGUGAAUAAUAAUCUCAAUUUAGGUCAACUUAAAGAAAUCACACUCAACUCAACUUAAGGAUUAGUCAUUUUCCAUGUUAAUCUACUGGUUUCCAGUUGCUUAAAUUUUUUUGAAAGCUGGUGUGGAAAAAAGUUAGGAUGUGAUCUGUCAUGUAUUUGUCUAUAGUUUGUAUAAAUUAUGCGCUGUAUUCCUUUCUUUUUUUUUCAAUUUAAUUUUGUCAGCAGUCCCUUUUUUUUUUUUUUUUUCUUAUUUAAAUAAAGGCAAUCAACAUAUGUUUGAAGGGAACUUUAACGAAAAGCUCCCAGUACUGUUCACUUUAACGAAAAACCACAUUUUUUCACUAAAAAGUAAAUCCUGAUACUAUUUACUUUAUCCUUUAUUUUGUAAUUAUAUAUUUUCCCAAUUCAUUUUUCGUUUUGUUUGCAAAUUCUUAGGUACGAGUCAAAGUUUAUCAAAAAAAUUGUUAAAGUGAUAGGAGACAAGUUAAGUCGCACGCCAUUGAGUGUUGAACCAAAAUUGAUUGGAAUUCAAUCUCAAGCCGAACGCAUCAAUUUGUGGUUCCAAGAUGGAUCAAGUGAUGUUGGUAUAUUUGUUGUGUAUGGCAUGUCUGGAAUAGGGAAGAAAACCAUUGCAAAACAUGUUUACAAUUCAAACUUUGGAAGCUUUCAAGGAAGUAGUUUCAUUGAAAAUAUCAAAAAAACAGCAGAUCGACCAAAUGGCUUAGUUCAAAUACAAAUGCAACUUCUUUGUGAUAUUUUGAACGGCAGAGAAGUGAAAAUACACAGUGUUAGUGAGGGAAUAAUUAAGAUUGAAAGGGCCAUAAGCUCUAAAAGAGUUCUACUUGUUCUUGAUGAUGUUGACCAUAUGGACCAAUUAGAUGCAAUCCUAAGGAUGAAAGAUCAGUUUUAUCCUGGAAGUAAGAUACUAAUAACAACUAGGUGUGAAAGGUUGUUAAAGGCUGAUCAAGUUACAGAGGUGCACAGAGUUCAAACUUUGGAUGACAAUGAAUCAUUAAAGCUUUUCAGUUGGCAUGCUUUUGGCCAGGACCAUCCCAUAGAAGAAUACAUGGAGCACUCAAAACAGCUAGUGCAACAUAGCGGCGGACUUUCAUUAGCUCUAAAAGUUUUGGGUUCUUCUUUAUCAGGAGGAAGUAUAGGUGUAUGGGAAAGUGCAUUGGAGAAGCUAAAAGUUAUUCCUGAUGGUGAAAUCAUGACUAAACUAAGAAUAAGCUAUGAAAGUUUAAGUAAUCUAUCAUACUUGCGAAGACUACAUUUAGAUGAGAAUCCAAUUUGCAGUCUGCCAGUUUUCAUCAAAGGUUUGAGGAGGAUCGAUGAACUCUCUUUCUGGGGUUGUGAGAGGCUCGAAUCGCUUGUGGGGUUGCCGGAAGUGCACCAAAAGAUAAAUAUAGUCAGAUGCAUAUCAUUAAAAAAAAUAACUUAUCAUUCCCCUCCGCGACCGGUUACAAUACAUUUGCGUGACAACUGGAAUCUUGUUGAGUGGGAGCACUAUUACAAGUUAGAGCCUAUUGAUAGAGUUGAUGUGGAAAUGAUCAAACUUUUGGGCUUGUGCAACUUGGAAUCCAUGCCAGCUGUUCGAAUGCGUUAUCCUUCCUACACAAACGGGGUUCCAAAAGAGGUCCCCGUCCAGGUGCGCCUCUUUUUCUCUCUCUCUCGUAAGUCUUAAAUAUAUAAUGGGAAAGAAAUGACUGAGUAAUGUUGUGAUGACUGUGGCAAAUACAUAGGGACUGUAUCAACAUGGUAUAUUCAGCACAUUUUUUGUUGGGAAUGAGGUUCUAGACCUGUUCAGCUAUAAAAGUACCAAGUCUUCGAUAUCUUUUAUUGUCCCUAUACUACUUGCUAGUCACAGAAUUCGAGGCUUGAACAUCUUUGCUACCUAUGCAAAGGAAAAUUCAAAUAAUUAUUCUAGUGGACCUAAUAUUGGUCCAAUAAUGAUCAAAGUGAGAAACAAGAGUAAGGGUUUGAAGUGGAUCUAUUCCCCAGAGUUCUAUGGAAUUCCAGGGGACGGAGAGGAAAUGAUAUGGUUGAGCCAUUGGAAGAUGGAGAAUAAAACAAUAUUACAAUGUGGAGAUGAAGUGGUGGUUUCGGUAAUAACCGGACCACGUGACUUGUUUUCGGUAAAGGAGUUUGGUGUCGAGCUUGUGCAAGAGCACCAAGACAAGAUGGGUACCCAACACAACACCAAAUCCGAUCCUAAUUAUCCAUUUGUUAUCGGUGGAGAUUUGAAGACGUUUGACUGCAAACCGGGAAUAUACUUCCUUGGCAAUUAUGAAAGAAAAGAUAUUGAUGACAUUGAUAUCCUCACCAUGGACUCUGAUGAAGAAGACACAAGUAUGUUGUGUUGUUGUAUUGCAUUGAAUUAUACUCCAUCCAAACACUUACAGGUGCGUCCGUAUUCAUUUCAAAAAUGUUACCAAUAAAUUUUAUGUUAUUUGUAUGUUUUUCAGACAAAGAAGGACAAGAGGAUGAACCUGAUUACACAUGUGCAAAGACGAGGGCUGCUAGCAAUAACUACUGCCUGAGAGGCUGGAAGGUGCUCCUCACAUUUGUCGGCUUCUUUUUUGCGCUUGCUCUAGUAGGUUGGUCCUCCAUCUCCCAAAAAAGGAAUCGACACUAGUCCACAAGCCCACCAUGAGUUUGUAAUUUGACUUGAUAUAGAUAUAUCUUUUCAUUCCUUGCUCUCAAGAUGUUUUCUACCUUCAAAACUUCAGCUUCAAAGCUAAGCACUCUUAACUGCUUGAGAUAUUAAAGCCCCUUGCAACUAGAUACCGAAGUUCAAAUGUGUUCAACGCCAUCAAAUAUAGCAUAAAAUACAUCCAGCAUUAGCUAUACUAGCAGAGUAGCGGUAAAUAAGUAAAACAAGAUUUAUUUUGGAGGGGGGGGGGGGGGGGGCGGGGAUUAUUUCGGCACCGGGGAAAGCAAAAACAUCCAAUCUGCUUAUAAAUGACAAAGUUACAAAUCUUAAUUGUCGUUUACAACAAAAUCAUUCUUAAAGACUCGGCUCCCCAUUGAAAUUGUGUAAAUUGCAUAAAUAUCAAUACAACAGAUAUUAGAUAGAAUAAUAUAUAUCAAAUAAAUUAACGACAGGCAAUUUCAAAAGCUUUAAAUGCAAUCUGAAUACAUGGCAAGUAGGGGUAAACAUGUGAACAGAAAAAUCAUUAACAAUUUCAAAAGCUUUAAAAACCGAAAACUCUAAACUAUAGACUAAAUAUUAAAAAGUGAAAUUGAAAUGGGCUCUCAACAAAAUUGAAAAAAGACCGGGAUGAAUUGGUGAAUUCAAAGCAGGCCUUGUUAAUGCUACGAGGCCCAAUGGGAUCCGCAUAAAUAUUUUUCGUUAUUAUUAUUUUAUUUUUAACAAACGAUAUUAUUUACGUGAGUUUAGUGUCAUAAUGGAUUAUCAAUAAUAUGGUUCAAAUUCGUUUUUGGCAAAAAUUGAACCUAUUCUACUUACAAAUGAAGAAGAAUACCAUUAGACUUUAGUACUAAGUGGUUUGUUAUUUUAUUUAUAUUUUAUGGAAAAUGAAAGAAAGCAAUGAACAGCUGUACGUAAACUAAAUACAUCAAGGAAUGAAAUGAAGAGGAGUGGGAGACUAACGUUAGAAAGGUAAACGCACCACGACGGCGGCGACAUGGCGGUCAUUUAACGGAAAAUAACAGACAAAUCAGCCUCCAGAUCAAGUGUUGAAGCAAAACUCUGAAAGAUCGAGACUACCUACAGCUGAGCUCCAACCGACCAACCGUUGAUGGAGGCAAUCAGGAAGCUCAGAGAUCAGGUCGCCAAGCAACAGCAGGUACUCUCUCUUGUUUGAUUCCGAAUUUGUAUUUAUGGAUUUUGAUAUGAACAUAAUCUGCGUUGAUUGCGAGAUACUGAGAUUGCUUAAUGAAAUAAUAUUUAUAUAAUUGUUCGAAUUGAAUUGGAUCGAUUCGAGUAGAAUUUCACUAUUUCUGAGCUGUUUGGGGCUGUGUUGGAGUGCAAUGUUGCUGAAUUUCUGAAAUUUUGUGCUAGGCGUUGCUAAUUGCUUAUCGAUUUUCGGAUUUAAUUGGAUGCUUAAUUUUUACAUUUUCGAAAAACUUCAAGCGAAAAUGGCAUAUAAUUCAACGUUCUAUGCUUUGUUAAUGCAUAAGAGUUAGUCGAAGUUUUAUCGAGUUUGCUUUUGAUUAUUUUGUGAACACCGUCAGGCUGUGUUCAAACAAUUUUCUGGUGGCAUAUACGGGGGAUCGGAUAAUGUUGCCUCGGAUGAAAAUGAAUUUCAACAGCAUCAGAAACUCGAGAAGCUGUACAUAUCAACUCGUGCUGCCAAGGUUGCUACGCUUAUUUUUGUCUGUGCUUUAAACGAGCAUCACGUUAGUUGUGUUACCUAUCGUUUUUUGCUUCUUUUUUAACAGCAUUACCAAAAGGAAAUUGUCCGCGGAGUGGAAGGUUACAUUGUGGCCAGUUCAAAGCACGGUGAAAUAGGUAUGUUGCUUGAAAUGCAUUGUCUUUUCUUGGGAGUUUGGAUAAAUUCAUGUUGGUUUUAUCAGUUGGUAUACAUAAUACUUUUUCAACAGGUACCAAGCUAUCAGAAGAUCGCAGGAAAUAUGGUUCUGAAAAGACUUGCAGCAGUGGUAACACAUUGUCGAGAGCUGCACUGAGUUUUGGAAGAGCUCGCGCCCAACUGGAAAAAGAGUGCGGAGUUCUUCUUAAAGCCCUUGGCACACAGAUUCAAGUCAAAUUAUUACUAACAAUGGCUCAUUAAGUAAAAAUCAAAUAUUGCCAGUGCCGGUUUCAUACAAAUGGAAUUUCAACUGACUAAUUUUCAUGUGCAUUUGAUAAUUUCGAAAGAAAUUUACAGUAAAAAUUGUUUCCAUUUUCACGUGUGGUUCAAGAACUGGACUACUUUUUGUGUUAUUAUGCAUCAUAUAACAAACCGGUUCACCAUUUCUAUCUAUAGGUUUGCAUAAUAACUCUUUCUGUGCUUAUCAAUUUGCCUCUGUAGGUUGCAGAGCCUUUAAAAGCAAUGAUAGUGAGAGCGCCCUUGGAGGAUGCUCGACAUCUAGCUCAACGAUAUGCUAGAAUGCGGCGAGAAGCUGAAGCUCAGGUAUAUGCAGUUUCUUCUGUUUCCUACCAAUUUUAUACUACAGUGAUUUUAUAUGUUACAUGGUGAUCGUACAUUUUCUCGGUUAACUUUUUUUGUUUUCUUUUAUAAGUGUUUGUUCAUUUUGAGACAAUCAUGCAUUGGUAUUCAUAGAGAACGCAAAAUCUUAAGAUAUUUAAUGUAAACUUGUUGAGAUUGCUUCAUUACUUGAAGCUUUGUUGUAAUUUGGUUUUUGGUUUUUUUAUUACUCCUUCAGAUUUGUCUAUAUAUACUAACUUGCACCGGGAUAGGCUAUAGAUGCUUCCAGACACUAGACCAAAGCACCGGAUUCUGCAGGUAAUGCUGAUAUUAUCAUGAAACUAGAAGCUGCUGAAGCCGAGCUUCAGGAGCUGCAGUCUAGCGUUGCAAUAUUGGGAAAAGAAGCUAGUGCAGCUAUGGCUGCUGUUGAAGGUCAACAACAAAGAUUGACUCUUCAGCGGCUUCUUGCGAUGGUAACGGAUUGCCUUCCCCUUUUUAUUUAAGUAUUAAGACCUUGGCCUGUUCUAGUUACAAGAAUAAAAAGGUCGUACCCAGUGCACAAGGCUCCCGCUUUACGCAGGGUCUGGGAGAGAUGAAUGUCGGCUAGCCUUACCCCCAUUUAUGAAGAGGCUACUCCCAAGGUUCUAGUUACAAGAAUGAAAAGGAAAUUAAUUUUGUAAAUUUAUCAUUUUUCGUCCCCAUUCCAGGUUGAAGCAGAGCGCAACUACCAUCCAAACAUUCUUCAGAUACUUGAUCAGCUUGAAGGCGAGGUGUGAAAUAUCCUAAAGUCUUCCUUUCAGCGUGACAAUUUCUUUUCCCAAUUCAUUUGGCUGUAUAUUAUUCUAGUGUCUUGCUACUAAAAGAAGAGAUCAUUGACACUAUUUGUUGGGACAGAUUUUGUCAGAAAAGCAGCGAAUUGAAGCAUCGCAUAGUCCGCCUACAGAGGACGCUAUGCCUCCACCACCAUCGUAUAAGGAUCUCAGCCGUAGCUUUGCUUCUGAAACCUAUGAUGAAUUGACAGAGUUGAGGGACUCUUUCUUAGGAGAGGUAUCUUUAUGCUAAUGUUGUUGUAUCCAAGUUUUAGUCUGUUCGACUCUUUAGUUUCUAGUAACUGUUUCUUUUCGCCUACCGCAGGUAAUGUACACCUUCCACACUGUAACUGAUGUGGAGUUAAGUUUGUCAUUCGGGGAUUACGUUGUCGUCCGGAAGGUUCUGUCAUCUUUCCUGCUUGCAUGCUUUCAUCUUAUAUUCAUGUUCGGAUUUAUUUCUUUCGUAUUGAGGUUAAAUUUUCAUGUUCAGAGACGUUCACUCAGGUAUGUUCGUCAAUGCAUAUGCAUUAGCACACCACCGAGUGUAUUAGAAUAUGGAUUUCAGUUUUGGGUGCUGCAUGCAUUAAUGUAGUUUGUGUGGUUUUGGUUAUUGCUGCCGCUGAGCGUGAGUGGCUUUCUGUAGUUGCUGAGAGUUAUAUUGUGAGCAUAAUUCAUACAGCAGCUUUCAUAUACGGCACAUGUAGUCGGCACUGCAUUUAGAAAGAGAAAGUUAUAUUUUCUUCACUGUCUAUUCAAAACUGUUGAUUGAUAAUAAUUGACUCAAGUGAAUGCCACAUCAUCUGCCACAUCAUCUGCCAUGUCAUUCAUAUUUCUGUUUUGAAACCUGUUGUUCCCUUGAUAGCCUUGAAUAUCACCAAUUCGGGAUCCUGCAUUUGAACUCUCUCCUUGUGAAUACCCGGAAUUCUGAUGACCACCUGUGACCUUAUCUCCUUGAACAUACAUUGCAGCCAUGCCACUUGCCAGCGUAGAGACCCUUGCUUCCAUAGCAGAUUCAACACCAAUCAACUGCGCUCUGAAAUCUUUCAGCGGAAUAGAAGUCUCCCUUGCUAAAACUACAGCCUUGACAAUAUCAAACUCCGGUGGUAAUCCAGAUAAAGCAGUAAUAACAAAAUCAUUAUCAGUAAUCCUCUCCCCUGCAGACACAAGCUGAUCCCGAAUGGCUUUCAACCGAAGCAAAUACUUGUCAAUAGAAUCACUGCCUUUUUGAAUUGUAUGAAACUCAAUUUUGAGUUGAUUAAUCCUAGCCCUGGACACAGACGCAUAGCGGUCUUGUAAAUUUAUCCAAGCUUCAUGAGACGUUUUACACCCUAUUACAUAUUCCAUAGCAUCAUCCGACAAAGUAGCAAUUAACAGACUCAAUAGGGCCAUAUCUUUCUGAACCCAAGAUUUAUAAGCUGCUGUGAUUUCUGUAGUCACUCCAUUCUCAGUGUUAACCACAAACUUUGGUGGACAAGGAGACUCACCAGUAAAGAAUUCAAAGAAAUCAUACCCUCGUAAAACCGACUGAAACUGAUAAUUCAACUUAACAAAAUUGUCAUCUUGCAACUUCACAGUCAACAUACCAAGCAAACUUUCAAUGCGUACUGAUUUAUCAGACAUCUUUAUCACAAAGUACUGACAAGAAAUCAAUCUCAAUCACAAAUAUGUUUAACUCCAAACUUCAACAAUGAUCACCUCUUCAAUAUAUUCUCACUACUUCUUGGCAUCGGCCUUCUAUAUGUAUAUACUUCAAAAGCUGAAAUUCCAGCAAUUUCGCAAAUGAACAACUGUAAUCAUAUCACACCACAACUAUAAUUCGUCUAUCUUCAACAAAUCUUGGCAUCAGCCUUAAUCAAAUCCAACACAUAACCCAUAUAUGAAAAACCAAAGAAAACAUUCCAAUUCACCAUAUAUCUUCACUGAAGCAAAAACGCAAACACUUGAUGUGCAAAGAAUAAGGAAAGAAACCAACAACUUGAUUGAAUGACCCUCAACCCAAAAUUCAUCAGCAAGCGUUCAAGCACUUCACCAAUCCUCCAAGAACUCCACCACAGCCUUCAACGAUCGAUCCCAAAGAAUUUCUCAGCGGAAGAAAAUACCCAAAAAAAAAAUCAACCUUGGCUCGAUACCAUCUUAACCAAGAAGAUCAGACUUGCAGAAAGAAAAAGAAAGAAACAAUACAGAGAAUAUAGAAGAAAACUUAGAAAGAAUAUGAAAGGUUUUGUAUUGAUAGAAUGAUAUUUUCUUACAAACAAUAAGCUGCAAUCAGCUUUUUAUAUCCCUAUAGUAGCCUAACUACCUUGCUUACUGUGUAAGCUACACAGCACCAUCCUAACUAACUUUCAACAGAAAUAUGAAUGACAUGGCAGAUGAUGUGGCAGAUGAUGUGGCCUUCACUUGAGUCAAUUAUUAUCAGUCAACAAAAACUUAUAUGUUGCAUGUUCUGGCUUUUAAAGUGAGUCGGCAUCAGAGUUUUUAUUUGAGAAAAAUCAGUUUUGUGUCCAUGUGUUUUCAAAGAAAAUAUUUUUGUUUUUAAUCACUGAUUUUUCAUUGUGCUUCAAUUAGAAAUCAAUUAUGAGAAUCUGCCUUGUGAUUUUCGUAAUUGGUUGAUUUCAAAAAAUCAUUACAUUUCAUACAUUCUGCAUGAUCGCGUUAGUAUCUUGCAAAGUUCGAGGACACAAUGAUUGACGGUCGCGUUAGUGUCGUGCCACUUUCACUUGAAGGCUGAAGAGAUCAAGUAGCAAAGCGCAAUGAAAAAAAUUGCCUACUAGUAUGUGGGUCUAGUUAAUGAGUUUUGUAAGUCUUUCCAUACUCAUUUCUCUUAUUGUUUGUUCUAGCUUAAGAGUCUGAGGAUUUUCUCAGUGGUGAGUUUUACCUUGUUUAAUUCUACAUCAUGUGUACACAUGUUAUUUGUCUUUUUAUUGCAAAUGUGUAGGAUAAUCUUUCACUUAUUUUCUUAUAGUGAACUCUAUCUUAGACAUUCAUCAACAUAUAGAGUUUACGACAGAGGACUUUUGCUACCAUAUUAUUCAGUGCAUUGAUUAAUUUGUAAAGCUCUCAUUUAUCCAAAUUAUAAAAUAUAAUCUGUACAAGACAUUAAAAAAAUGGAAGUGUCUUUCAACAGUUUGGAUGUCAUGUAUGGCCAUAUCCUUUAUUUCCAGAGUAAUGUUAUUCAUACCAUGUUUUUAUACCACAUUUAUAUACCACCUUAGGUGGCAUCUGAUGUGGACAACCACAUUAUUUGAAAAAUUUGCAAAACUCGAGAAAAUGAAGGAGAAAUACUCCUUGUAUGCCACAAUCAUAAUUUAAUUAACUAGUUUUUCUUAAUUAUUAGUUUAUUAAAUAAUGAACUAAAUUUAAAAAUCUGAUUAAUUGAAAUGAUGUGUCUGUUCACAUCAAAUGCCACCGAAUAUGGUAUGAAAAUAUUGUACAAAAACAUAAUAUAAAUAACAUUACUCUUAUUUCCACCAUUCUUAUCAACUGGAUGGGGAUAUAAAGACAUAAUGUGGCAAUCGUCCAUUAGAAAGGUAAUGUACGUUUUGAAAAUCGUGGCAAAUAUUGAAUGAGUAAUGACGCCUCUAAAAAUAAAAUUUAGUUAUUUGAAAGAAUCUUUCAUAAAAUAAAGUAACGAAUAAUCAACAAAAGUAGCAGUACACCAAGUUGAACCUUUUUCAACGUUGAAAUGAAAUAUGAAAGGAGAUCAAGUUGAUAUUAUUCAUCUACUUUUUUUUUUUUAAUAAACGAUAUUGUCUACGUUAAGAAAAUGGACUUGGCUAAGCCUCACAAUGGACUAGCAAUAAUAUGAUUCAAAUUCACAUUUAGCAAGAAUCAAACCAAAAGAAGAGAAAUAUUAUUAGACUGUAACAUUAUUCAUCCACUUUUAAAUAAUAAACAAUCAAGAAAAACACUGCACGCAGUCCCCUCUCGUCACUUACCACUAGUGCCAUCACUUCCCUGAGCAAAAGAGAUAUUUCCAAUUGCUUGACCAAAACAAGCAUUGAGUUCAUCCAUCAAUAACAGGUCCACAUCUCAACCCAAAUAUAAUGACGUCAAAGGAUAGGGGAAAAUGAGAAGGAAACUCUGGAGGGUAGAGGGAAGGAAAAGGAGAAAAGGACAAAGGAAGAAGGGAAAAGUAGAAAGGGAAGGAGGACAAUGAGAGGAAAUUUCGGAGAAUAGAGAAAAGGAGAAGGGAAAAGUAGAAAAGGAGAAAGGAAGGGAUAAGGGGAAGGAAGCUUAGGAGGGUAGGUAGAAGAAUGCAUAAAAAUAAAAAAUAAAAAAUAUAAAAGGAGAGUCGACUUCACCAUUAUGUCUACUAGCGGAAAGGAGCAACAUUGUAAAUUAUAUUUCGUAUAAUGAGAAAUUAGUAUUCCUACUUGAGGAUAUGACACAACUUGCCGAAUCUCGUUACGAUGCAGCAAGUUUAUAAUUGCACAACAAUUUGAUCAACCAUCUUAAGUUCAAGCAUACAUGUAUUAAGAUUCAAAUUUUUCCAGAUUUUCCUUAUGAAACUAACUGAACAUUACAAGUGCCACAUUAUUAUACGGUUCUAUCAAGUUUUAAUUAUUGUCUCAUAACCACAUCAUCUUUAGGACAAUAAUCUUGCGGUUGAAUAUAAAAACCUUCGACAUGGUGAUAUUGGAAACACUAGUUGGUGGGUUGAUUGGUAGAAAUGGUUCCAACACUUCAAGGAUGAGAAAUGAGUAUUGAGCAACGAUCAAAAUAUAUUGUAUUUUAUCACAAAAGAUGUGUGCAAUUAAAAGUGCAUUUUAUUACAAAAAAGAUGAGCAACGACCAAAAUAAUUGUUAUUUAUAAAAUCACACAUAAAACAAGAAGGAAUCUUUUCUUUUUCUUUUCAUCUCUGCCACUAGCGGCCGACCAUGACUUAAACCAUCUCCAACCCUUGGGCUAAAAGCCAAAUUUUUUAGCCCGGAAAAUUUAGCUUUUAACCUAGAAACAUCUUUCUACUCCAACCCUUCUACCCUAAAAUUUUAGCCCGGAAUUAUUAAAGAAUGAAAUUAGCCUAAAUUUUUUUCUUAAAUCAAUUUUUUUUUUAAAAUAAAUAUGUAGAUUAUUGUAAAUUAAUUUUAUGAACAUUUUAAUCUAAAAAAAUUUAAAUUCCGAUAAACAUUUCGCAUUUAGCCCGAGGAAAGCUGGGGGUAUUUGGCCCAGAAAUAGCAUUUAGCAUUUAGCCUAAAAUUUUAGCAUGGGUUGGAGAGUGUUUAGGGGGUAAUUUGGUAGGUAAUUUGGCUUUUAGCCGAAAUGGUCUUAAAGAAACGCUUUUUGGGUCAAUGGAUGGGAACGACCCAUUUUAUAAUAUUGUUUGUAAAUUUUUCUGGAAGUAGAUGGAAAAGACCGAUGUACAUAUUUCCCCUGCUCACAGACAUUUGCAUUGCACCUAGCAAACACCAGUUUUUUUGUUUGAACAUCGAUCCACAUCAAUGGCUCUUGUGAGAACAUCUCCAGGAACCUCCUCUGAUUCCAACACUUUUCGGAGUUAUCGCUACGACGUGUUCUUGAGCUUCAGAGGCGAAGAAACUCGCAAGACUUUUACCGACCAC